This 65646-nucleotide long non-coding RNA is filed under the name Triticum aestivum (bread wheat). RNAcentral's name for it is "long non-coding RNA (TAES_LNC023286)". The stretch from base 60690 to 60760 matches the Rfam family "Small nucleolar RNA Z105". The record is from RNAcentral. Lineage: Eukaryota; Viridiplantae; Streptophyta; Magnoliopsida; Poales; Poaceae.
CUCUGCUUCCUCUUGAUCAUGGGGAAAUUAAUUAGCGGUCAUCCAUGUCUGAAUUUGACACUAGUUCUCACGACAACAACCCUCACUUCCUCAGGGAUCGACCACAUCGCCGUGGACAUGAAGGACCAGAAGAUGACGGUCGUCGGCACCGUCGACCCCAUCGCCGUCGUGGCCAGGCUGCGCAGCAAGCCCUUCCCCACGGCGCAGAUCUUCUCCGUCGGCCCGGCCAAGGAGGAGAAGAAGGACGUCGACAAGAACGACGCGGGCAAGCCGGUGGAGUACCCGACGUACUGGUAUCCGCCGCCGCCGUACCACCCGCACCUGUACCACCUCGCUCACAGCGCCGAGGAGGACCCCAACUCGUGCAUUAUCUGUUGAUCGACGCGCACCGUCGAUUCUCUCCCUUCUACAUUUUUGUAUCUGGCCGUCCUGCCUGGCCUGCCGAUCGAUCAGCGUACCUGCACCGGUGAUCAACGGCGUGCGUUAUGUAUAUGGCCUUGUAAGGUGUGUAAGUUGCGCCGGUGAUCCGGCAGCUGUACAGCACAGCUGCAUCUGCCUAUGCCUCUGCUUAUAGUUUGUAGUGUGCAGAUACAGAAUUACAGUAUAUGUUGGUCAGAAAGGAAAAUCAUCAAGUUGUUAAAAUGAAAAGUGUUGUGAAGGAUCAGAUAGAAUUGUUAAAAAGAAAAGUGUGGAGAAGGAUCAGAUAGAAUCAUUAAGCGAGGCAGGCACAAAGAGAUGAGAAAUUCAGGCGGACAACUAGAUUGGUCUCUCGUGCAUCUUUACAUUUACCAAUAGAAACUCUAAACGCCAAAGCUAUCCAGCUGUGCUCCAUCUAAGAGUUGCUUUCAGUAGUCAAUGAUAACAACGUGUGAAAAGGAUUCCAUGCUUUCGGACUGUUUUUAUUACUCAUGUAUGCUUUCAUUGUUACGAGUCCUAACACACGAUUACGACCUAAUACAUUGCUAAUUAUCCAUCUCACAAAAUACACAUUCUUAAUGGCAGGUCUUAAUCGCUGCUCCAAGUGCACAGAGUAUUCAUUUGAUAUCGAACAUCUUUUGUUUUCAACGGACGGCUGCAAGCCAUGCGCAUUUUAUCCAUUCAUUACCCUAUUCUGUUUGACUUAGUGAUAACGUUGCUUCAUUAAAAAAAAAACUUGUAUCUUUGCUCUAGAAAUAACAAGAUACACUCAGGUCGUCAACCGGAGAGAGUUUUUUAACUGAUCUGAAGACUAGAGUUGCGGAGAUACCUCACUAUCAUUGGAAUGUUUUCGUUCGACGCUGAUACACGACUUGUGAGUCCUAACCACCCACUAAUAGUUGUUUGUUGCCACAUUUACCUAUUACUCCCUCCGUUCCUAAAUAUAAGUCUUUUUAGAUAUUUAGGGACGGAGGGUCAUAUUGAAAUGUGUCUAUAUACAUCCGUUUGUAGUUUAUAUUGAAAUUUUUAAAAAAAGUUAUAUUUAGGAACGGAGAGUAGUGACAUUGUAACAUUAUUUAUACUCUAUAGAAAAAUCUGACAACUCGCACCCACAAAUCAGGAUGGUGUCUAGUCUAGGUAGACAAGUCAGAGAUAUCUUCCUAGGGAUGUAUCUGACAUGACACAGGAACGCCACAAUAAUCGACAUCGUUUUAUAGAAUUUUACAUGAUUCGAUAUGGAAAAACGAGAUAUUUUGAAAUAACUCGCUAAGAUCCAACUGAUGCAUGUUUCUUGCCAACUGGGUUUCGCUUGUCGGUUCUAGUGAAAAUAAUGAAAUGUAUCCCUUAGUACCAAAGUAUAAGACAUUUUUGUAGUUUAAAUUAAACUACAAUACGUCUGACAUUUUGAAAUAGAGGUAGAAGCAUAAGUAUGUCACAAGACAUAACGGCUAAUAAAGUGGCAAAGAUAGCCAAAAAUAGUUAUGGAGGGUAAACAAAUGUCACACUAUAAUACAAUUAAUAAACAAAUACAAGAUACACUGUCAAUCAUCCCGCGUUGAGCUUCAGUGCGCGUGUCUUUCUUCUCCAGUGGUAAUUUUCCACCGUGCCGGUCCCACGUGAAAGUUCAUGCAUGUGUUAGUUUGACUCCCAACCGCAACGUUUAUUAUGCUCACUCCUCUACAGGUCUGUGGUUAAGUGCUCGCACUGCCAUUUUCUUAACAACACAACGGCGGCGACGAAGGGACAAUCCGUCGUAGGUACUCGCUAUGUGUUUUUCAUUUUGUGGAGCAGUAUUGAUAUUUUAUUUUGUAUCGUCGUGCUGCACUUUCUGCCGCUGACCCCUCCAAGAUCUCACGUACUCGGUGAGCUAAGGGCAUCUCCAGCCGCGCCCCCAGGAAGGCCUCCCCAGGCGAUUUAUUCGCGCCGGCGCCGAAAAACGGCUCAGUCACGCCCCCAAGAGCCCGAUUUUCGUCGGCUUUGGCGGAAAACAGCGCCGGCGGACCCAGCCCGAACCCGGCGCGCUGGGGGGCGUUCGGGGGCGCCGGGGCGAGCUGUUUUGGCGCUAAAAAGACGCGGGCCAGCCGAGUCAGCGACUCAGGCGCCUCGUCUUCCCCCAACGGCCUCGGUUCCCGCGGGAAAUCAAUGGCAAGGCUGCCGCCGGUCAGCCUUGCCAUUGAUUCCUCACGGGCGGCGCAUCACGGGAUGGCGCGCCGACGCCUCCCCUCCCUCGCACGCGUACACACGGGCGCGGCCCGGCUAUAAAAGUCGGCCGCCUCCACUCGCCUGUGCCCACACCAGCCCCGCCCCUCGCCGCCGUCCAGCCCCUCCCUCUCCCUGCCUCUCCCGAGCGCCGCCGCCCAGCCCCUCCCUCUACCUCUCCCGAGCCCGCCCAGCCCCGCCGUCGCCAUGGCAGAACGCUUCCCCGGAGACGAGGCGGCGGCCAACGGCUUCGGCCGCCGUUCGCUCCGCGAACAAGAGUCCUGGCUCCUGUUCCAGGCGAACAUCCCGGCGCCGCCGGACAUGCGCGCCGGGCCAACGGGGUGGAGACUCAGCGCCGGGGGAGUGCACAUUCCCCCGUUGCCCGACGCCGUGGUGAAGCCGAACUACUUCACCGAGGAGGUCAAGAUCGUGCGCGCGUCCCUCACCAACGCCCAGCUCUCCCUCCCCCAGUACGCCGCCGACAACCACGCGUAUUUCGAGCGCCGCCAGCAGCAGCGAUUGGCGUCCACCAACGGCGCUCCGGUGGUCGGUGGCCGGCAGAACAGCGAGGGGCGCCACCUCUGGUGGGGCGUCCCCGGCCGCACUCUCGAGGGUGUGCUCACGUACCUCGAGGGCGGCAACGACCCGUCGUUGGCGUACCCCCCGACGCAGCACCGACGCGUCGGGCCAUGGGCGCCAAGGAGGUUCAGGUCCUCCUCCUCCUCUUCCUCCUCCCGAUCCUCAUCGCACUCCUCCGGCACUCCGGCCCUACUUGGCGUCAAGGCCGAGCCCGCGGCGGAGUCGCCGCUCGGCCGGCGCACUCGCAGCGUCCGCAUCGUCAUCAACGAGGGCGGCCGGCGCGCCUCCUCCUCGUCAGCUCCUCCGCGCUUCGUCAAGCCAAAGACGGAGCCGGGCUGGCGCCGGUGAAGGCGGAGUUCGACGACGACGACGCGGCCCUAGAAUGGGCGUGCCAGGACUCCAUUGCGAUGGAGAAGGCGCGCCGGGAGAAGGUGAAGGAGCGCCAGCGCGCCGCCCUGUGCCGCUUCGAGGAGCGCCGACGCGGCCGCGAUGAAGACGGGGUCGUCGUCCUAUGCGACAGCGACGACGACGACGACGCGCCGCCGCCAGUCCGCCAUGGCGACGCCGGGUCCAGCAGGGGCGCCCGCGUCAAGGAGGAGAAGGCCGACGACGACGAUGGCGGUGACGACUUCAGCCCCUUUCUUUUUUAGAUUAGGUUAAUGUAAUGAAAGUGCGCGAAUUUCGCUGAAAUUUGCCAUGUUUAGCCGAAAUUUAACUACUUUUUAUCAUAACUUCACCGAACGACCCUUUUUUUAAUACGCGCCUGGGAGCGGCCCUAGGGGCCGACGGUUGGGGACCGACUCGCCCCCAGGGCCAUUUUUUGCGCCGGCUCACCCCCAGGCGUUGCUUUUAGACGCCCCCUGGGGGGCCAACGGCUGGAGAUGCCUUAAGCCGGCCAGGAGGCCGUGAUGUCAGGUAUUCAACGUCAUGUGAGAGGAUGCGCCCCUUCGUUGUUCAGAUCGUGCGGCUUAAUAUUAGAGCAUCUCCAGCCACGCCCCGGGAAGACCUUCCCAGGCGAUUUAUUUGCGCCAGCGCCAAAAAACGGUCCAGGCGUGUCCCUAGGACGUCGAAUUCCGCCGGCUCGGGUCGUUUUUGCGUCCGGCGCUCGCAGGCCGAACCCGGCGCACUGCGGGCGCUCGGGGGCUCCGGCGCAAGCGAAAAGUGUUCCUGGGGCCACAUUGACAGGCGAAAAGUCAAUCCACCCGCCCAGAUUCGCCCUCCUGCCCCCCGCGCUCGGCCGCCACCCUCCGCCACCCUGCCGAUCGCGGCACCGACCACCGCCCGCCGCAGCUAGGUAGACAGUCUCCAUCCUAGAAAAAGAAGGAGCGUCGCCGAGGCAGCCUCUUCGCCGCCACCCCGGCACCUUUUCCGGCGCUCCGGCCGUGCAGGACCUAUACGCCGGCGGGCUUGCACCCACCUCGCCCACAAGGUGUUUGGUGAAUUGCACGGCCCGGCGAUGGACUCCGAAGAUGAGGAGGCGCUCGCGGCGUUGCUGGAUGAGGAAGCCGAAGUCGACGUGCAGUGAGAAGCCGCGCCGAGGUGGCUCAGCAUUUGGGCGGGUGAAAGCGAAGAACCGACAUCGUCUGGAAGGCUAUUGCAUGCUCUACACGGACUACUUCGCCGAUGAUCCAUUGCACGGCGAGAAAACAUUUCGGCGCCGUUAUCGGAUGAGCCGAAAGCUUUUCCUCUGGAUUGUGAAUUCCAUCCGGGUGUUCGACAACUACUUCAAGUGCAAGAAGGAGAUCCGAGACCCACAGGUGCAUCAAGAACUGCAACACGAUCUGGUGAAGCACCUAUGGAGGCUCAAGGGCGAGGCAGGGAAUGGAGAUGAAACUUGAGUUUUUAUUUGUUAAACGAUAUAAUUUGUAGUGAACUAUUUGAUUUAUGUGACGAAACAAGCGAAAACACGCCGAACUAUGUGAGGAGCUAAUUGAUUCUUAUUUGUUUGCGAAAAUUCACGCCGAAACCCGCCGAACCGAGCCGAAUAUGGGCCGAUUCACGCAGUUACCAGGCCAUUUCUGGACAUAUUUGGGCCGAAAGCUGGGCUGAAUUUGGCGCCUGGGGGCGACCUGGGGGCAACGGCUGGGUGCCGAACCGCCCCCAGCGCCGAUCUUAUCGCCGGCGCACCCCCAGGACGCUCUUUUUCGGCGUCCUGGGGGCCAAAGGGCUGGAGAUGCUCUUAGGUCUUCAUCCAUCUCCACCAUCCAAUGGGCUAUCUCCUUAAUUUCAAUGUCGCCACACCCUCGUCCCCCUCAUGCCCCCGCGCCGUCUCCGAGUGGUUCGAGCGGAAUCAACCGCGCCAGUGUCCCUCACCACCCCCUCCUCUACCCCCUCCCCCGCUGUUGCCGAAUGAUGUGGCCGGACUAAGCCCGCGUAGCGGACGAUGGUGGUGGGGGAUCUCCCGCUCAUGGCAGCGCGGGCGCUUUCUGGAUCUCGGGCGGCGGCUUGGCCUUCGUGGCGACUGACGGCUACUGCGGUCGUGCGGGCGGCAUGGUGGCUAGGCCUAGCGGAGCACCAGCCUUCCCCUUGGCAGCGCGCGCUCGGCGUAUGGAGCAUGAUGCUCUGGAUCUCGGCGUGGGAAGGCUGGUGGCUGCCGGAUCUGACCGGGCAUAGUUGGAUACGGGCGGCCUUCGUGGGUUCUGCUUUGGUCGCAUUUGUCGUCUCCACGAGGUGCAGUGGCUGCGGCGCGGCGGCGGCGACCUCCUGUCCCCAGCCUGGUGUGGCGAUUGCAGGCUAGUAGCGGGCUUCAGGUUGUAUCGAUCUAUGCUGGGGAGGGGGGCGAUCUGCUCGGGGCAAAUGCCCUGCUCUGGUUGUGGCUGGAGAUGGCGAUGGCGGCGCCUACGGGCACCGCUUCCCUGUCGAGGACGUCGUUGUGAGCUUGCCUUCCACCUUCCUUCGGCUCAGGGGGAAACCCCUGCUCUAGCAGAUGAUGGCGGUGCUUUGCUUUGCUUCCUUCUUGAAGGUCCCAUUUUGGAUCCAGUUGAUUGGUAACGUUGCAUGAAAAUCAAAAACAUUCCUACAAAACACCCAAGAUCUAUCAAUGGAGAUGUAAAGCAAUGAGGGGAGUGUAUCUACAUACCCUUCUAAAACGAAAUCGUUAGUGUCGUAACACGAUUGAUAUAGUUGUACUCUUCACGAUCCAAUCGCGAUCCAAUCCGAUCUAGUACUACAUGUGCGGCGCCUCUGAGUCUAGCACACGGCUCGGCGGCAUCCUGUCCUUCUUAAUAGAGCAAGCGAGGGAGAGAAGGUAGAGGAGAUCUGAAGCAACAUGACGACAUGGUGGUGGUGGUGGCAGAAAAAAUCUGGCAGGACUCCGCCAAGCGCGUACCGGUGAAACGUGGGAGGAGUUGGGAGAGGUAAAGAGCAACCCCCACUUGCUGCUUGCUAAUCGCAGUUUUAAAAAAUGGCAUGAAGCUAGAUAUGAGUAGAUGUUGUUGGUCGAAAACGUCUUUCAUUGACAAUGAAACAUAAUGGAAGGGGGGCUGAGGGAGUCCUGGACUAAGGGGUCCUCGGGCGUCCGGCUAUGUGAUGUGGGCCGGACUGAUGGGCCAUGAAGAUACAAGCGAGAAGAACCUUCCCCGUGUCCGGAUCGGACUCUCCUUUGCAUGGAUGGCAAGCUUGGCAUUCGGAUUAUGCACUUUCCUUCUUCUGUAACCGACUCUGUACAACCCUAGAUCCCUCUAGUGUCUACAUAAAUCGGAGGGUUUAGUCCGUAGGGCAAGAUCACAAUCAUACAGGCUAGACAUCUAGGGUUUAGCCACUACGAUCUCGAGGUAGAUCAACUCUUGUAACCCCUAUAUUAAUCAUAGUCAAUCAAACAGGAAGUAGGGUAUUACCUCCAUUAAGAGGGCCCGAACCCGGGUAAACAUUGUGUCCCCUGCCUCCUUGUUACCUUCGAUCCUCAGACGCACAGUUCGGUACCCCCUACCUGAGAUCUGCCAGUUUUGACACCGACAUUGGUGCUUUCAGUGAGAGUUCCACUAUGUCGUUACCAGAAGGAUUGAUGGCUCCAUUAACCAUCCACGUCAACACCGCCUUGAGGGAGACUUUACUCCCCAGCCAAAUCUUCGUAUUCGGCGGCCUCGCACUACGUGCCAAUUCGAUUGGCCAUCUGGAGCAGAUCGACAGCUACACCCCUGGUCAUCAGAUCAGUUUCGAAAACCUAAACUACGGCGCUGAUGUCCGAGGAGACUUGAUCUUCCAAGGGCUCGCGGCCUCAAUCGCCGCUCCGUCCUCAGAUCCGGAACACCUCACCGAGCUGGACUCCCCUCCGCGCACCAGCUCUGAACUGUCGAGGUAUGUGUUAUACGAGACCGGCGAAGGAACUCUUGUCCCGCCCCGCUCCACGGAUUCUCGCUUCCUUGUCCAUACCUCGCCCUUGAACGAGGCUCUGGACCUAAUGCGAUCUCUUGCCAUUAUGGAAGAAUCGCUGCCGAACUAUGCCGAGCCUGCACUAGGGGCUGAGAGCAGGGAAUUUUACUUCCCACCCACCACCCACUUCAUAGACAAUGUCGAGGACUUAACCGACAUGCUUGAUUACGCUUCCGAGGACAUCAAUGGUAUGGACGACGAUGCUAGAGAAGAACAAGGCCAUAACCCGCCGCUUACCGGAUGCUGGAUGGCUACCUCUACGUAUGACGUGUAUAUGGUGGAUACACAUAAAGAAGAUGACGGCAAAGGUGGCAAUGACCCAGUUGAGAAUAAUUCUCCUAAGGCACCACCAAAGCGUCGUCGUCAGCUCCGCUGCUCUAAACCGCACCGAGAAAAAGACAGCAAUAUCAGCACCAAAGAUGACAAUACUCCGGAUAAUGCCGAAGACCAAGAAGCCCCGGUCCAACCAACAUCCGAACAUGAUGGUUGGGAGAGGGGCAAGUCAAUCCCGACAGUCCCAUCAGGAACAAGGGUUCGGAGGAUGAUGAUUACAUACCAAUCUCCGAAGAAGACGAGAGCCUUGGCAACGAAGAAUUCAUCGUGCCAGAGGAACCCUUCGAACAAGAGCGCUUUAAGCACCGGCUAAUAGCCACUGCAAGAAGAUUGAAAAAGAAGCAACAGCAGCUUCAAGCUGAUAAGGAUCUGCUCAAUGACAGAUCGACCGAUGUCCUGGCAGCCGAGGAAUAUGGCCUCGAAUGCCCAACCAAGAGUUACCCGAAGCGCAAGCUGCUACCCCAAUUCGACGACGAGGCCCCAAAGCCUAUACCUCCCAAGCGUAAUGCUACUGAAGGACCUGACCGACCACCACGUGGCCGAGACAGGGCGGCAACUCAAGACGAACACGUGCCUGCACCACCCCACUGUAAUGGUAAAGAGACAACAGCCGCAAGAUACACUUACAACCUACGACAGGACCUGGAUAAUAGAGCUGGUCAGACCCGAUCUAUAUACGGAUCAAGGGGCCGAGCCCUAGCGCGAGAAGAUGGCCAUCAAGCCUAGCGCGACAAGCAUAACUUCAUCCGUGCUGAAAACCGCAUGCGGACUCCAUCCGAACUGUGCCAUGAUGUGGCCCGAUAUAGAGGUGCCGCGCACCCCCUAUGCUUCACCGAUGAGGUGAUGGAACACCAGUUCCUAGAAGGGUUUAAGCCCGUGAACAUCGAAGCAUACGAUGGCACGAUGGAUCCCGCAGUGUGGAUUGAAGAUUUCCUUCUCCACAUUCACAUGGCUCGCGGUGAUGAUCUACAUGCCAUCAAAUACCUCCCUCUCGAGCUUAAGGGACCAGCUCGACACUGGUUAAACGGCCUCCCAGAAAACUCUAUUAGAAACUGGGAAGACCUAGAGGACGCCUUUUGAGACAACUUCCAGGGCACCUAUAGACGACCUCUGGACGCCGAUGACCUUAGUCACAUAAUCCAGACCCCUAGAGAGUCAACCAGAAAAUUCUAGACCCGGUUCCUAGUGAAAAAGAAUCAAAUUGUCGACUAUCCAGACACUGAGGCUCUAGCAGCCUUCAAACACAGCAUCCAUGACGAGUGGCUUGCCCGACACCUCGGCCAAGAAAAGCCGAAGUCUAUGGCAGCCCUCCCAUCACACAUGACCCGCUUUUGCGUGGGUGAAGAUAGCUGGCUUGUGCGCAGCAACAACAGUACCGGCGAUCCUGGCACUUCCAAAGCAAAGAAUAGAAACGGCAGGCCCUGACACAAUAAAAACAAGCGUUGAGGCAACACUGAUAAUACCGAAGACACAUCGGUCAACACCGGAUUCAGUGGCUCCAAACCCGGUCAACGGAAGAGGCCAUUCAAAGGAAACAAGGAUGGCUCAUCUAGCCUGGACCGAAUACUCGAUCGACCUUGCCAGAUUCACGGCACCCCUGACAAAUUUGCUAACCAUACCAUCAGAAGCUGUUGGGUCUUCAAACAGGCCGGCAAGUUAAACGCCGAACACACGGGGAAAGGGUCGCCCAGCAAGGAUGACGAUGAGGAGCCUCGCCCAUCGAACACAGGGGGGCAAAAGAAAUUUCCCCUCAAAGUCAAGACGGUGAACAUGAUAUACGCUACCCACAUCCCCAAAAGGGAGCGCAAACGCGCGUUAAGGGACUUCAAUGCGAUAGAGCCAGUCGCCCCAAAAUUUAACCCAUGGUCAGCAUACCCGAUCACCUUCGAUCGCAGGGACCACCCGACCAAUAUCCAUCAUGGAGGUUCAGCCGCAUUAGUCCUCAAUCCAUAUUAGGUGCGCCAUUAGUAGCGGUAUUUCUAGUAGUGAUUAGUCCUCAAUCCAAUUAUCGAUGGAUUCCACCUCACAAGAGUCCUCAUGGACGGCGGCAGCAGUCUUAAUCUGCUCUAUCAGGUCACAGUCCGGAAAAUGGGUAUUGACUCGUCAAGAAUCAAACCCACUAAAACUACCUUUAAAGGAGUAAUACCUGGUGUAGAGGCCCGCUGCACGGGCUCAAUCAUAUUGGAGGUCGUAUUCGGUUCGCCGGACAACUUUCGAAGCGAGGACUUAAUCUUCGACAUCGUCCCCUUCCGCAGUGGCUAUCACGCACUGCUCGGACAAAUCGCAUUUGCCCGCUUCAAUGCGGUUCCGCACUACGCUUAUCUAAAAUUCAAAAUGUCAGGCCUGCGAGGUGUUAUAACAGUCCAUGGAAACAUGGACCGUUCCCUCCGUACUGAGGAACAUACCGCGGCCCUCGCAGCGGAAGUACAGGUCGGCCUUAUCACGCCGAACUCCACAUCGGCAUCCAAUCCACCAGACCCUAUCAAACGAGUCCGAACUACCCCACAGAAUGAUAGUCCAGCCAACCAGGAGCUCGACUAGCAAUCCGGCCUCUGUCUUCACCCCAACAAAACAACGGCGUAUGUAUCGCGUGCUCAUAAUUACGUACUAAAAAUACCAUGGGCGGUGAUUGAGGCAUAUCAAGGAUGAGGUCCACAAUAUGGCUCAACCAUGUCCGGACCCCCAUCUAUCUUUUUCUUAACUUUGUUUUCCUUUUUAGGAUCGUUACAACCUACAUCGCCCUUUUUAUGGUGUCAAAGGGCCCCCUUUGCCAGCCCCUUAUGAAAACUUAUUUCAUUAAUCCUCUCAAAGGAUCACACACCAAGGCAAAAAAGAAGCGCAGAUGUACAAAGGAGUACCUAAAGGCUCUUUUCAUGAUCACCUCCCCAAUGAUUUUAAAUAUUUGUACACAACUUUUUUUGCGCUCGGCAUGUAAAAUAGCCUCGAUGCUUAUGGCAUUAUCUGUACAAAUAUGUUUUGACGUAGCAAUCAGACUAUAAUGGAAGCAGUUUUUCGCCCAAAUUACUUGGUACUGACUUAUUCCUUUUUUUUCGUAUUCUUUGAUCGCCAUGUACACCUCGGCCCGGCAUAAAUCGCCAGGGGCUCCAUUCAGCUGCGUACAUUUAUUACAUUUAUUACAAGUCCGAAUGCUUUCACAAGUGCAAUUAGGCGUCCCAAAUUUAGCAUUAUAUGCAUCAGCUCCGAAUCAUGUCUUGGGUCAAUAGUUGGGUUGUCCGGCUCGUGUGAUUGUUCGGCUAAGGAAGUAAAGGGAAAACUACUGCUUUUGUGUUUUUGGUUGGUCGGACAAGCACCUCAGUAGAGAAAGCCAAAAACUGACUAUCAUGAUGCUGCGAGAACUGGUCAGCUAUUCGGCGACUCAGUAUAAAUCUCUUGCGAUUUUUUCCGUGUCAUACGAAGGACUAGUUUAACGUAGUCAGGUGUUUACAACGCCCGAGUUCGGAUCGCCGAUCGAUACCAGGGGCUGCGCCUAUAAUUCUGUUGUCAAAUUCCUAUGGCUAAGUGAGAGUGAUAAAGCCGCAUAGUCAAUUGCCUGGUUCACCGCACUAGCACCUCCUUCAAGGACCACAUAGUUGGGUUAAGUGUGUUUUUCUACUGUACCGAACACCCCCAUAAUAUCUACGUGAGGGGCUGAAGCCGACGACUGUCCAGCUCUCAAAUUCGAUAAACGGCCACAAUGGAGGAUAAAUAAAUUCAGAUAAAACAAGACUAACAUCAUACGGACGCUUUGUUUUUAUUACACAGUUUGGGCAUUACGGAUACAAUCAUUCAAACAUCACGUCCUUCGAGCACAGGACCUCUAUGAUACGGGACCCUUCAAGGACGUCGUUUAAGUACUUCUCCGGUGUAAGAUGAUCCUUGCCUGUGGGCGGUCGUUUGGUUGCAACACUAGUGGCACUAUUCUUCGCCCGUUGUACCUUGACGCGGGCGAAGGCCAUCCGAGCACCUUCGAUGCAGACCGGCCGCUUAAUAGCAUCUAGCCUUGGGCAGGCAUCGACUAGCCUCUUCACCAGCCUAAAGUAGCUAUUAGGUAUUGGUUCAGCUGGCCAAAAACGGACUAUGACAUCCUUCAUGGCCAGCUCGGUCAUCCUAUGCAGCUCGGUCAGCUGUUUCAACUGAUCGCUGAGGGGCAAGGGCUGCUCUGGCUCAUGGUAUUGUGACCAGAACAGUUUCUCUAUUGAGCUCCCCUCCUCGGCUCGGAAGAAAUCUGCAGCAUCUGCAACACUUCGGGGAAAAUCCACAAACGCUCCUGGAGAACUCCAAAUGCAUGUCAAGAAGGUAUACUUUCUCCUUACAUAUUUGCUCUGCAUUUUAAAAGUCUCACCAGCCGUGAUCUUCUUGGCCUGGCGGAUCUCCUGAUAGGCACCUUGGGCUUCAACCCGUGCCUCCUUUGCACUUUGGAGCGCCGCAGUAAGAUCGAAUUCUUGAUCCGACACCCUCGCGCUCCAAAGACUCACAUUUUUUAUGGCGUCUGUGAGCUCUUGUUGGACUUCAUCCAACCUUGCCUCAUGAUUUUGGCGAGCGGUGUGUUCCUUGUCUGCCUCCUUCUUGGCUACGGCUAGCGCACUCUUGAGGGCUUCGACCUCAGACGAGUCAGCUAUGAGCAUAAAUAUAAAGCUCAGUCAUAUAACAAAUUGGAACUCAUAACAGUUCAGGUAUGCUUCGGUAUUACAUACCUUGUUUGAUCUCCAACCUUCGCUUUAGUUCGGAGACUUCAGCCACAUGCGAGGCUGCCGCUAACUUCGCAGCCUGCUCAUCAAUGUAGAUAUGUAUGUUAGCUCUUAUGAUACAUUAUUCGAUCCUCCGUUCGGCUCUUCUUUGGGAAAUGCCGAACAGAGUCUCAGGGGCUACUACCUAUACACAGUUAUUCCUUUUGUAAAUAACCAAAAAUACAUUACUUCACAUACCUCAAAGCCUAUUAGAAGGCUGGUGGAGGCUUGGUUCAAUCCGCUUUUGGCAGACCGAACCCGUUCAACCACCAUACCCAUCAAGGUACGGUGCUCCUCCACAAUGGAAGCACCUCGAAGCGCCUCCAUCAGUGUCCGGCGCCUCUGGAUUAAUAGAGGAUAAUGGUGGAGACCGCACACCCCCUUCCCUUGAAGAGGGUGGUUGCUCUGAUGCCGGGGUCGUAUUGGCCUCUGGAAUAAUAUUUGGUUGGGGGCCGAAUUGAGCAUUUCCCCAUCACCGGCCUCCGUAGGGGUGGAUUUCCCCCUCUCUUCGGCAACAGAGGUAUUACCCUCUGCUGCCACCUUCGCGGUCUGCCGAGAUAGCACUUUGGUGUUAUCUCGGGCGGUAGGUGGAGAGAUCUGCGGAGGUGACUCGCUCUCCAUCGCGUUCGUCCCUAGCGAGUUCCCGGAAGGCGAUGACCAUUGAAGAAGAUCGCAAGCCAGGCUAUAAUGCGCACUUCAGUAUGAUAAAACAGUAAGAUAUAAAAUCAAAAAUGUGUAUGGUGUCUUGGGAUACUUACGAUUCAACCGAGUGCUUCGUCCUGGGGCGCCGCUUUAGGGUGGCAUCAACAUCCUCUUCGGACUCAUCCGAGAAGAGAUUUUUCCUGUCUUGGCCACCUUCGCCUCAAGAUCCGCGGGAGCCCCCCUCUUCUUCCCCCCCUGGGGGAGAGUUACUCUCUUCCUCCUCCACGUCUUCGUCAUGGGAGGAGGAGGCUUCAGAAUCUUCGGAUAUAGCGUCCGAAGUACCCUUACGACGGAGACCACCUCUGGUCUCCUUGCCCUUCUUCUUGACCUUCUUCUCCGGCGCCUGAUACGGCGUCGGAACCAGCAUCUUGGCCAGCAGGGGAGUAGCCUGGUCCUCAGGCAGCGGAGCCGGAUAGUUGAUCUGCUCCGCCUUCUUUGUCUAGCCCUGUGGAAGUAAGAGGGUUCAAUAUACUCCUUGGAAUUGCAAAUAAAAGUUAUUAUAAACUUACUGGAGAAGCUGGAGGCGCGCAGUUAUAGCCACGGUCUUCGGUUGACUCUGGCCACGACUUUUGAGUCUUGAAGAGCAGCUUCAAUAUGUCUUGGUGCGUCAUACCGAAGAACCGCUGCAGAGUCCGAGGACCGGCCGGGUCGAAUUCCCACAUGUAUUGAGUCCGGCGCUGGUGAGGGAGUCCUGGAUUAGGGGGUAUCCGGACAGCCGGACUAUAUACUUUGGCCGGACUGUUGGACCGUGAAGAUACAAGACUCAAGACUUCGUUUCGUGUCUGGAUGGGACUCUUCUUUGCGUGGAAGACAAGCUUGGUGAUCCGGAUAUUAGAUUUCCUUCUUUGUAACCGACUCUGUGUAAACCCUAGCCCCCUCCGGUGUCUAUAUAAACCGGAGGGUUUGGUUCGUAUAGGGACAAUCACAACAAUCAUAAUCAUCAUAGGCUAGCUUCUAGGGUUUAGCCUCUACGAUCUCGUGGUAGAUCAACUCUUGUAAUACUCAUAUCAUCAAGAUCAAUCAAGCAGGAAGUAGGGUUUUACCUUCAUCGAGAGGGCGCGAACCUGGGUAAAACAUUGUGUCUCUUGCCUCCUGUUACCAUUAGCCUUAGACGCACAGACCGGGAACCCCUACACGAGAUCCGCCGGUUUUGACACCUACAUUGGUGCUUUCAUUGAGAGUUCCUCUGUGUCGUUGCUACAAGGCUCGAUGGCUCCUUCAAUCAUCAACAACAACUCGGUCCAGGGUGAGACUUUUCCCCCCGGACAGAUCUUCGUGUUCGGCGGCUUCACACUGCGGGCCAAUUCGCUUGGCCAUCUGUAGCAGAUCGACGGCUACGCCCCCGGCCAUCAGGUCAGGUUUGGAAACUUGAACUACACGGACGAUAUCCGCGGAGACUUGAUCUUUGACGGAUUUGGGCCUACUCCAGGAGCGUCGAACAGUCACGACGAGCACGGCUUAGAACUGCUGUCUGACAAUAUCUGGUUAUCGCACCUGCAAGAUCCUCGGACCUAAAUUCGGGGCAAAUUGCGUCAUCCGAGGACGGGUGGAUAGACCCCUCCCCGGAGGCCACACGCUCAUCGGCGGUAGAGCCGAGCACCGGCUUCACCCCUAAGGAAGCUGGUGACACCGGACCCCUGGACUCGUGUCCGGUUGUAGGCUCCAGUCCAUGCACCCCCGAGUCCGCAGAAUUUGGUUGGGCUCCGGUAAUGGAGUUCACCGCUGUGGAUAUCUUCUAGUACUCGCCCUUUGGCGAUAUGCUAAACUCGUUAAGGUCUCUCUCUUUGUCAGAAGACUCUUGGCUGAACUAUGUCCGGAUCGAGUGGGAAGCGGGCGACGAAGGAAUUCGUUGCCCACCCACCACCCACUUCAUAGCCACGGUCGAUGAUUUGACCGACGUGCUUGAUUUCGACUCUGAAGACAUCGACGGUGUGGACGAUGAUGUAGGAGAAGAACAGGAACCACCACCCACGGGGUGGUGGAUAGCCACCUCCUUAUAUGAUAUAUAUGGUGGACACUCUGAAAGAAACCAAUGGCGAUGAGGCAAUGGAGGAUAACCCCUCAAGGAAGAAAGCAAAGCAUGGGCGUCGUCAGUGCCGCUCCGAGCCCGGCCACAGCAAUACCGGCACAGGAGACGAAAACAAUCCGGAUGGUGCCGAAGAUGAAUACAACCCCGAUCAGCCUGCCUUCAUGCAGGCCGAACAGGAAGACGUGCAGGUCAGCCCACACGAACAGGCGAUGGACGGAUACCCGGAGGAGGAAAACUACAUGCCUCCUCCGAAGACGAGAUUAGCCUCGGCAACGACGAGUUCGGCGUGCCUGAGGACCCCGCAGAGCAGGAGCACUUCAAGUGCCGGUUUAUGGCCACUGCGAGGAGCCUGAAAAAGAAGCAGCAACAGCUCCAAGAUGAUCAAGACCUGCUCACAGAUAGAUGGACGGAAGUCCUGGCAGCCGAGGAAUAUGGACUCGAGCGCCACACGGCUGACCAUCCACCUCGUAUCCGGGAUAAAACGGCGUAUCAGCCCGAAUACCAGCCCGCACCCCUAUGCCAAUACACUACGGCCCGGGGCAAUAGGCAGGACAUGCAAGACAUACUAGAAAACAAGGCAGGACAACCAAGAUCGAUCUACGGAUCGCGAGGGCACGCCCCAACACGUGACGACGAUCGUCAUGCCAGAUACAUUAUCAACAAGUCCGGCCGGGCCGAACACAGUCAACUAGACUCAUUCGAACUGCGUAACCACAUAGCCCGGCAUAGAGGCGCCGCACACCCUCUCUGCUUCAUUGAUGAAGUGAUGGAUCAUGAAUUCCCAGAAGGGUUUAAACCCGUAAACAUUGAAUCAUACGAUGGCACAACAGACCCCGCAGUAUGGAUCGAAGAUUUCCCUCUCCACAUUCACAUGGCCCACGGUAAUGAUCUACACGCCAUAAAGUAUCUUCCCCUUAAGCUCAAAGGACCAGCCCGGCACUGGCUAAAUAGUCUGCCGGUAAAUUCCGUCGGCAGUUGGGAAAACCUGGAGGACGCUUUCCUCGACAACUUCCAGGGCACAUACGUGCGACCACCAGAUGCUGAUGACUUGAGCCACAUCACCCAACAGCCUGGAGAGUCAGCUAGAAAAUUCUGGAAUCGGUUCCUAACUAAAAAGAACCAAAUUGUCGACUGUCCGGACGCCGAAGCCUUGGCGGCCUUUAAGCAUAAUAUCCGCGACGACUGGCUCGCCCGACACCUCGGCCAGAAAAACCAAAAUCCAUGGCGGCUCUCAUGACACUCAUGAUACGCUUUUGCGCAGGCGAGGACAGCUGGUUGGCUCGCAUUAGCACCAUGCCAAUAAACUCCGGCACUUCAGACGUCCGCGAUAAUAACGGCAAGCCACGGCGCAACAGACAUAAGCGUCGGAACAAUGGCGACAACACUGAAGACACGGCAGUCAACGCCGGAUUUAGUGGCUCAAAAUCCGGACAGCGGAAAAAGCCGUUCAAAAGAAACAAUCAGGGACCGUCCAUUCUGGACCGCAUACUUGAUCGCUGAUGCCAAAUUCACGGCACCCCGGACAAGCCUGCAAACCACACUAAUAGAGACUGCUAGGUGUUCAAACAGGCCGGUAAGAUAAAUGCCGAAAACAAGGGCAAGGGGUUGCACAGCGACGAUGACGAAGAGCCCCGGCGUCCAAACAAGGGGGGACAGAAGAAAUUUCCUCCCCAGGUGAAAACGGUCAACAUGAUCUACGCCACCCACAUUCCCAAAUGGGAACGAAAGCGAGCACUGAGGGACAUCUAUGCGAUGGAGCCGGUCGCCCCAAAGUUCAACCCAUGGUCAGCCUGUCCGAUCACCUUUGAUCGUAGGGAUCACCCUACCAGCAUCCGUCACGGCAGUUCAGCCGCAUUGGUCCUAGACCCAAUCAUUGACGGAUUGCACCUCACACGAGUCCUUACGGACGGCGGCAGUAGCCUGAACCUGCUUUAUCAGGACACAGUGCGCAAAAUGGGCAUCGACCCUUCAAGGAUCAAGCCCACCAAAACUACCUUUAAAGGUGUAAUUCCAGGGUAGAGGCCCGUUGCACAGGAUCCAUAACACUGGAGGUGGUCUUUGGAUCUCCGGAUAACUUCCGAAGCGAGGAGUUAAUCUUUGAUAUCGUGCCUUUCGGUAGCGGCAAUCAUGCAUUGCUUGGACGAACUGCAUUCGCUCGGUUUAAUGCGGUACCACACUAUGCAUACCUUAAGCUCAAGAUGCCAGGACCUCGCGGGUCAUAACAGUCAACGGAAACACGGACCGCUCUCUCCGUACAGAAGAGCAUACUACAGCCCUCGCGGCAAAAGUACAAAGCAGCUUUCUCCGGCAAACCACCAACCCGGCGACAACAACUCCGAACACCGUCAAGCGAGUUCGAAGUACCCCGCAACAGGAUCGCCAGGCACACCAAGAGUGCGACUAGCAGUCCGACCUCCGCUCCAGCCCCAUUAAGGCAGCAUUCGUACCGCGUGUACAUAAUUAUGCACUCAAAAUACCAUGGGCAUAGGCGGAGGAGCAAUAGUGGCGCAGUCAACAGUGCGGUUUAGCUGCAACAUACUUUAAUAACCCCCUUUAUCUUUCAGGACCCUGCUUCCGGGCAGCCUCUUCAAAAGAGCCGGAUUAUCGGACUUCCACUGGAGAGAAAUCCAACGAGGCAAAAGGCUUUGCGCACAAAGGGAAUACCCAGGUGGAAUCUAUUCAUGAUCGUUAUUCCUGUUUUAUAUACCUACAUGCGGCCCGCACUUGGAUAGGACAUGUCAAAUAGUCCUAUUUACCUUUGCUUAACGCAUUCAUUGUAAACAUACGCUUAGACGUAUUAUUCAUCAAUGAGAGAUUAUAUAUAACGUCAGCUUAUUAUUCCUAUCUGCACAUUUUUCAUAUAAAUGUUUAUUUACUAUUGCAUCUGUACACCCUGGUACGUUCAGUUUGCCAGGGGCUUCUUACGAUGCCCCUUAAUACGGCAAGAUUAGCCCGCACACUUUUGACAGUGCGGCACCCCGAACUUAUAGCAUUAUAUGCAUCAGCUCCGAAUCAUGUCUUGGGUCAAUAGUUGGGUUAGCCCGGCUCCCUUGUUUUGGUACCUUACGUUCCGUUAUAUCGUCUAAGGUAACGCAGGGAGAACUACUACGAUUGUGUCCCGGUUCUUCCGCACGAGCACCUCAAUAGAGAAAGCCGAAAACUGACCGGCAUGAUGCGGCGAGAGCUGGUCGCUGUUCGAGAGGUCUUAAAAUCCUUAAAGAUUUUUCCACUUUAGGCAAGGAAUCGGCCUCAUCCGAUUUAGGCGUAUAUAGCGCCCCAAUUGGGCAUUCCGAAUUCCAGGGGCUUCGCCGAAAUUUAAAAUUGUAGACUUCUAUGGCUAAGUGAAAGUUAUAAAGCCGCAUAGUCCGAUUGCCUUGUUCUUUGAGCCAAACACCUCCUUCAGGGACCAAAUAUUUGGAUAAAGAGUGUUUGGGUUUUCCACGAACACCCCAGUACUAGUUACGUGGGGGCGGAAGCCGACGACUGGCCUACUUUCAGAAUUUUAUAAACAGCCGCAUAGAAGGUAAUAUUUUAAAUCAACAAAGCGCUAUAUAGCGCAAAUAACUUCGUCUUUAUAUUACAAAAACAAUAGGAGUACAUUCACUCAAAGAUUGUGUCCUUUGUACAUUCAUCGGCCACGAGGCGAGCGCCUUUCAUAAUGCCAUCAUAAUAUUUCUCGGGAUAGCGAUGCGCCUUGCCCUCUGGUGGUCCAUCCUUCACCAGCUUCUCCGGAUCGAGCUUGCCCAAUGCACCUUCGCAUGGGCAAAGGCUUGGCGGGCACCCUCAAUGCAAACGGAUCACUUGAUCACUUCCAGCCGUGGACAGGCAUUUACCAUCCGCUUUAUCAGGCCGAAGUAGCUGGCGGGCAGGGGCUCACCAGGCCACAUCCGGACUAUGAAAUCCUUCAUAACCACUUCGGCCGCCCUGUGGAGUACAACCAGUUGCUUUAAUUGGUCACACAGAGGCAUCGGGUGUUCGCCUCUAGCAUACUGGGACCAGAACAACUUCUUCGUUGAGCUCCCCUCUUUGGCACGGUAGAACUUCACGCCAUCCGAUAUGCUGCGUGGUAGAUCUGCGAAUGCCCCUGGGGAGCUCCGAAUUCGGGUAAGUAAAAGAAACACCUCCUCCACAUGCUUGCUUUGCAUAAAGAAUGUCUUACCCGCCGCUAUGUUCUUGGCCGCCUGGAUUUCUUGCUGGGCCUUUUCGGCUUCGGCCUUGGCAUCUUUCAUGCUCAAAAGGGCCUUCGCAAGUUCAGACUCCUUCGUCUUGAAGUCACGCUCCAAGGACUCUAACUUCUUGCCGAGCUCCUGGAGCUCUUGCUAUACCUCGCCCACCCUAGCAUUUUUCUUUUCACACUCAAUGGGCUCCAUGGCCGCCUUGUUUUCGGCCUCGGAUAGUGCUUUCUUCAGGGACGCCGCUUCGAUCGUAGCCCCUAUUGCAAAAUCAUGACGUUUUUUUAGUGUCACCAAUUUUUAUUCUUUGUAUGUGAACGGGGUAUCACUCACCUUUGUUCUCUUCGAGAUGCCUCUUCAUGAGGCUGAGCUCUCCCUGGGCCUGCUCCAGGUCCCGCUUGAGUCCGGAGAACUCUGCCGUGCGGGUAGCAGCGGCAAGAAGCACCUCCUGCUUAGUCACAUAGACACCUAAUAUUAGACUCCUGCGGAUUAAAAUUGACCCUCCAUUUGGCAUUUCUUUCCGAACACCAAAUAGAGUGUCAGGGGCUACUAUCUAUCGGGUGAUAAUUUCACACACUUUUGAUUACUUACCUCAAAGCCUGUUAGGAGGCUGGUGCUCCAGGAGCCUUCUGAAUCACCGCACUCAUAAGAGUACGGUUCUCGUCACCCAUGGAAGCGCUGUGAAGCGCUUCCGGCAGACUAUCCGACGCUUCUGGCAUAAUGAAAGUCAUGGGCACCGACGGCCCGCCCUCCUUAGCAAGGGCCGGCCUACCCGAAUCCGGAACCUUUGGAGGUUCUGGUGCAGUGUCCGGCUGGGAGCCCGACUUACUGCGGCUCCCAUCGGCACAAUAUGCAGAGAUCUUGCGCCACGUGUGCCCGGCGUCUGGAAUUUCGCCUUGGGGUGCCUCUAGAGUCGCCUACCCUUGCUCAAGGAACCUUUGGGACAACACCUCCGUGUCAUCUGCAGGCUGAGGGGAAGUGGCCGUUGGGAGCGAAUUCAUCGCCGAAUCGCUCAAAGACCUAUCCGAAGAGGAUACCUCAGGAUGGGCCCUGGCCGGACUGCAUAUGCGUGUUCGGUGUUAUAACGGACUAUGAAGUGAAGUCGCACUAAAGUACAACGGAAGUGCGGAUACUUACGAUCUUACUAGGGGCUUCCCCCUGGACAGCCACUCCUCCUCGCUGCAGGCUGCCGAGGCAGAGUAAUCCGGGAGGGACGUCUUUCCCUUCUUGGGUGCCCUAGCCUCCCCCUCCGGGGCGGCUUUCCUUUUCUUCUCCUCCCUAGUGCGGGGAGGUGGAAUUUCUUCNNNNNNNNNNNNNNNNNNNNNNNNNNNNNNNNNNNNNNNNNNNNNNNNNNNNNNNNNNNNNNNNNNNNNNNNNNNNNNNNNNNNNNNNNNNNNNNNNNNNNNNNNNNNNNNNNNNNNNNNNNNNNNNNNNNNNNNNNNNNNNNNNNNNNNNNNNNNNNNNNNNNNNNNNNNNNNNNNNNNNNNNNNNNNNNNNNCCUCCGCGGGAGGAAUCUGCCUCGUCGUCCUCGGACGACGAGCCUAUGACGGCCUUGUGCCGGGGACCUUUCCUGGUCCCUUGGGCCGCCCUCUUAGGGCCUUCGGCCUCCCCGGAUGGGGCAGCCCUUUCCUUCUCCUUCUGCUCCUCCCCUUCGUGGGAGGAGUGUGCCUUGUCGUCUUCGGACGAGGCGUCCGGUAUGACCUUACGCCGGAGACCCUUCCUGGUCCCCGGGGCCUUCUUUUCGGCCUUCUUUUCCGGCGCCUUGUAGGAUCCGGGACUAGCAUCUCCGUCAGGAGAGCGGUCGCCGCACCUUCUGGCAGUGGAGCCGGACAGUCGAUCUGCUCCGCCGUCUCCACGUACUCCUGAUUAAGUACACACGAUGACUUAAAAUCCUCCCAUGAGUAUGCUGGGAAAACUACAUCUGGUGAUGGUUAGAAAACUCACCGGACUGGGGGACCGUGCGGCGUGGAGUCUGCUGUCCUCGGACAUGGGAGGAGGUAUUUCGGAGGCCUUGAACAUCACCUGCCAUGCGUCCUUCUGUGUCGUGCCGUAGAGCUCUUGAAGUGUCUGGUGUUCGGCCGGGACGAACUCCCACAGAUUGAAAGCCCGUCGUUGGCACGGAAGGAUUCGGCAGACGAGCAUGACCUGGACCAUGUUGACAAGCUUGAUUUUCUUGUCAAUCAUAUUCUUGAUGCAGUUCUGAAGUCCGGUCAGCUCCGCGGGCUCUCCCCAGGCCAGGCCUUUCUUUUCCCAGGAGGUGAGCCGCAUGGGAAUUCCGUAUCGGAAUUCGGGGGCCGCCACCCAGUUGGCGUCGUGCGGCUCGGUGAUGUAGAACCACCCCGAUUGCCACCCUUUCAUGGUCUCCGCGAAGGAGCCAUCAAGCCAGGUGACGUUGGGCAUCUUGCCCACCACGACGCCUACGCACUCCGCUUGCUGGCCGCUCACGAUAAUCGGCUUCAUGCAGAAGAUUCGUAGCCACAAGCCAAAGUGAGGCUUGAUACGGAGGAAGGCCUCGCACACGACGAUGAACGCCGAGAUGUUGAGGACGAAGUUUGGGGCUAGAUCAUGGAAGUCCAGCCCAUAGUAAAACAUAAGCCCGCGGACGAAGGGAUGAAGUGGAAAUCCCAGUCCACGGAUGAAGUGGGCAAGGAACACGACAAUCUCGUGGGGUCCUGGAGUCGGAAUGAUCUGCCCUGCAUCCGGCAGCCGGUGCGCAAUAUCUGCGGCCAAGAAUCCGGCUGCCCGGAGCUUCGUGAUAUGCUCCUCCUUCAUGGUCGAGGCCACCCACUUGCCCCCUACUUCGGACAUGUUUGUCUAUGCGGAGAAGGUGUGAACUAGGGCGCUGGAGCUCGAGGGUACGAGAAUGGAUAAGCAGAGGAGGAACAAGGCGUGGGUAAAAAUGGGGAAAUCCGUAUCCCUUUAUAGAGGCGACGAAAAUGGUGCGCCUCCCCACUUGCCCAUUGAAGAUCGCUUAUUUACCAAGCGCCGCGAUUGAUGGUGCGGUUGGGUUACCCAUACCCGUAUUGAUGGGAAUCCCGUGAUAAGGGGACAUGAUCUCUGCUUCAACAAGACGUGUCGAGGAAACCUCUUCGCAAUAUGCGUUGUGGCUGGUUGUGGGAAAACGGUUCAAAUAAUUACUCGACCGUAGUGUCAUGUCACGUCAUCAGUAGUCGUCAGUAGAUUACAUUUGUGGAAUAUCGUUCUCUCUACGAUGGUAUGUGAAGAUCAUCAUGCGGAUCCAGACAGGAUUUAAGUGUUCGAUAGUUACUUUGGAGUAUUCGGAGAUGGAAACCGCCUUGCAAUGCCGAAGACAAACUGCGCGCCGGACUCAUCGUCAUUGAAGCCUGGUUCAGGGGCUACUGAGGGAGUCCUGGAUUAGGGGGUAUCCGGACAACCGGACUAUAUACUUUGACCGGACUGUUGGACCGUGAAGAUACAAGACUCAAGACUUCGUUCCGUGUCUGGAUGGGACUCUCCUUUGCGUGGAAGACAAGCUUGGCGAUCCGGAUAUUAGAUUUCCUUCUUUGUAACCGACUCUGUGUAAACCCUAGCCCCCUCCGGUGUCUAUAUAAACCGGAGGGUUUGGUCCGUAUAGGGACAAUCACAACAAUCAUAAUCAUCAUAGGCUAGCUUCUAGGGUUUAGCCUCUACGAUCUCAUGGUAGAUUAACUCUUGUAAUACUCAUAUCAUCAAGAUCAAUCAAGUAGGAAAUAGGAUUUUACCUCCAUCGAGAGGGCCCGAACCUGGGUAAAACAUUGUUUCCCUUGCCUCCUGUUACCAUUAGCCUUAGACGCACAGAUCGGGACCCCCUACCCGAGAUCCGCCGGUUUUGACACCGACAGCUGGCAUGGAAGAAUCCGGCGAAAAAGCAUCACCUGGAUCACGCUGGGGAGGUUGGUCUUCUUGUUUAUCACGCCCUUGAUGCGGCUCUCCAGCGCUUUCACCUCAUCAGGUGAUUCCCAAUCUAGGCCCUUAUUAAGCCAGGAUGCACUACUAGGGAAAACCUUAUACACAUCAGCAUCUUAGCAAUAGCGCUGGACAAAACAGGGCGCUACUGCUACUUAGUAGUAGCGUGUUUAAAUAAACCGUGCUAGUGCUACUACUUUAGCAGUAGCGCGUGCUAGGAAAACACGUUGCUGCUAUGUUUGUACUGGGCGCAGAUGGGUAGCCCCACUUAGCAGUAGCGCGUAUCUGUGACCAGCGCUAGUGCUACGUCCCAUAGAGGUAGCGCGUAUCUUAGAAAUGCUCUACUACUUACUUACCUUAUCCUACACGCGCCCGACCCUCUCACUCACUCUGCCUCCACUCACUCUCGCCCGCGCCGAACCCGGCGUUCGCCGCCGCCGUGCUGCUCCUCCAUCGAGGUACUCCCUCUGUCCCUCCUCGUCCCUCCUCCCUUCUCCCUCCCUCCUCCCCCUCCUCCCCCGGCCGUCCUCCUACCACCGCCCCUCCCUCCUCCUCCGGCCGCCCCGUCGCUCCUCCUCCUCCGGUCGCCCCCUCCCCCUCCUCCCCCCUCCCACCUCCUUCUCCGGCCGCCCCUUCCCCUCCUCNNNNNNNNNNNNNNNNNNNNNNNNNNNNNNNNNNNNNNNNNNNNNNNNNNNNNNNNNNNNNNNNNNNNNNNNNNNNNNNNNNNNNNNNNNNNNNNNNNNNNNNNNNNNNNNNNNNNNNNNNNNNNNNNNNNNNNNNNNNNNNNNNNNNNNNNNNNNNNNNNNNNNNNNNNNNNNNNNNNNNNNNNNNNNNNNNNNNNNNNNNNNNNNNNNNNNNNNNNNNNNNNNNNNNNNNNNNNNNNNNNNNNNNNNNNNNNNNNNNNNNNNNNNNNNNNNNNNNNNNNNNNNNNNNNNNNNNNNNNNNNNNNNNNNNNNNNNNNNNNNNNNNNNNNNNNNNNNNNNNNNNNNNNNNNNNNNNNNNNNNNNNNNNNNNNNNNNNNNNNNNNNNNNNNNNNNNNNUCCCCCUCCUCCUCUCUCCUUCCUCCUCCCUUCCCCUCCUCCCUCCUUCUUUUUUUUCUGUUUUUUACUAUAGUUUUUUACUAUUGUAUAAUGUAGUUUUUUGUACUGUUUUUAGUAAGUGUUUAAAAUAACUGGUAAGUAAAUUAAUAAAACUAGUUGAACUAGUUUAUUUUUAGUAAGAACUAGUUGAAUUAAUAGAACUAAUGUAUUUUUAGUAAGAAAAUUAAUAUAACUAGUUGAACUAGUUUAUUUUUAGAAAGAACUAGUUUAGUUUUAUUUAUAGUAAGUUUAUUUUUAGUAAGAGCUAGUUGAAUUAAUAGAACUACUUGAACAUGUCACAUUUGUUGUUAUUUUUUUAGUUUAAGCAAUUAUUCCCGCAUCGACAUCGACGAUGCCUAUCCCACAUCCUCGUCGUCGAUACCCGUCGUUCGCUAGGGUUUUAGUUGUAUUAGUGAUGUUAUAUUUAUGAUACUAUUCGUGAUGUAUUAGUGAUAACUUAUAGGGUUUUGUUUUUGCUAAAAUCUAGGAGCCCCUCCAUCAUCCCCGCCGUCGUCCCCGUCACCGACCCCCUCCGACCUCGAGGUGAGACCAGCCAAAUCUCCAUGUCAAUAUGAGUCCUAUAAGAUAUGAUGUAGAUAAAAACAUGUAUAUCUUGUGUUGCUCAAAUCGGAUAUGUGGUUGCCCAAGUGGCCGGUCAUGUUUGCAGGUUACACCUUUGACUGGCCUAUGUUUUGCCGGACUGUUGAUUAAUUUCCGUUCCGGCAAAUUUUAGCACUCGAUAUGUCCUUUUUUUAGCAAAGGUCAUGCCAGAAUUUUCCAUGAAUUUUGGCAUGACUUGUGCUAGAAUAUGUAGGAAAUAUCGAGUGGCCUAGAUUUUCUAGAAAGAUAAUUAAAUGAUAUUUCGGGUUAACUUUAAGUCUGUCGAGGCCGAAGAAUCCCGACUGUUGUCGUGGGGGUUGUUUCUCCUUCUUCUCCUUGUGCUAGACCGUUGCUAUGCACUAGGGGAAGGAGGAGUAAUGACCAUCAUCGACGGUCACAAAUGUCAGAGAGGAAUCAGUGAGGGAGAAUCUCCACCAUAUAUGAGAGGACGAAGAAUCCCGACUGUUGUCAUGGGGGUAGCUUCUCCUUCGUUCCCGUGUGCUAGAAUUUGGUGUAAUGCACUUGGGAACGAAAGGAGGAGCUACCAUCACCGACGGUCGAAUAUAUACACCACGUGAGCUGAGAGUUUUCAAGAAAAGACUCGACGGGCCGAUAGCCAACCCGUGAUGAAUAAUAAUGAUCUAAUUUAGUUUUUGUAGUACAUAUAUUUAAUUGUACAAGUUUAAUCUUUGAAUUAUGAACAUAGGAAAUGUCGUCGAACGAAGAAGGUCCUGGAGAGUGCUCCUGGUGCGGCGACAACCGGGGUUUCUGCGACAGGACUCACCUGGACGAAGGUCGGCGCUUCAGCAUUAAGCUUGAGAAGGCCUUUGAUCGUGAUACGGUAAGCUACGAUGCAAAGUAUUUUUUUCAUAAUUAAGUUUGACUUCUACUACUUCAACAUGUAAUUUUCGCCUUUUACAAUUCGACUAGCUUAUCCCAUGCCAUGCAAGAUGCCAUGUCUUGGAGAGGAUGGGUUUUGAAGAUGAUGAGAGGAAUGAAACAAAAAAAUUAACCUAAGGACCCAUCAUGGUAUGGAUUUUGAGGUAAAUCUAUACAAUUCUGAGAGCGUAUCCCAUUUUGGUUGCCCAGGUUGGGAAGCACUUUGCAAGAUGUAUGAUUUUCAAGAGGGUAUGUUUUUCACCAUGGAUCUUGGUGAUCCUUGCAUCAACCAAGACAAUUUGGACAUUUGUGUCCUUGUUGAUACACUUCCAAUUCUACCGCUAUGUGAGUUUCUCAAUCAUAGUUAUUAAGUAAUUUGUAUUGUUUAUUUCAAAGUAGUUGACAGCUUAUUUCCAUUGAUAGCUUAUUUUCAUUCUUCAAAGAAUGUGCGGAAGAUGGUAGACAUAACCUACUACACUGAUGGUGAUAACCCACAAGUAUAGGGGAUCACAACAGUUUUCGAGGGUAGAGUAUUCAACCCAAAUUUAUUGAUUCGACACAAGGGGAGCCAAAGAAUAUUCUCAAGUAUUAGCACUUUAGUUCUCAAUUCAACCACACCUGGAUAACUUAGUAUCUGCAGCAAAGUAUUUAGUAGCAAAGUAGUAUGAUAGUAAUGGUAAUAGUGAUAAAAGUGACGAUAGCAGUUUUGUAGUAAUUGUAACAGUAGCAACGAAAAAGUAAAUAAGCGAAGCACAACAUGUGAAAAGCUCAUAGGCAUUGGAUCAGUGAUGGAUAAUUAUGUCGGAUGCAAUUCAUCAUGUAAUAGUUAUAACAUAAGGUGACACAGAACUAGCUCCAGUUCAUCAAUGUAAUGUAGGCAUGUAUUCCGAAUAUAGUCAUACGUGCUUAUGGAAAAGAACUUGCAUGUCAUCUUUUGUCCUACCCUCCCGUGGCAGCGGGGUCCUAAUGGAAACUAAGGGAUAUUAAGGCAUCCUUUUAAUAGAUUAUCGGACCAAAGCAUUAGCACUUAGUGAAUACAUGAACUCCUCAAACUACGGUCAUCACCGAGAAGUAUCGUGAUUAUUGUCACUUCGGGGUUGUCGGGUAAUAACACAUAAUAGGUGACUAUAGAGUUGCAAGAUAGGAUCAAGAACUCACAUAUAUUCAUGAAAACAUAAUAGGUUCAGAUCUGAAAUCAUGGCACUCGGGCCCUAGUGACAAGCAUUAAGCAUAGCAAAGUCAUAGCAACAUCAAUCUCAGAACAUAGUGGAUACUAGGGGAUCAAACCCUAACAAAACUAACUUGAUUACAUGGUACAUCUCAUCCAACCCAUCACCGUCUAGCAAGCCUACAAUGGAAUUACUCACGCACGGCGGUGAGCAUCAUGAAAUUGGUGAUGGAGGAUGGUUGAUGAAGACGACGGCGAUGAAUCCCCCUCUCCGGAGCCCCGAACGGACUCCACAUCAGCCCUCCCGAGAGAGAUUAGGGCUUGGCGGAGGCUCCGUAUCGUAAAACACGAUGAAACUUUCUCUCUGAUUUUUUUUCUCCGUGAAACGGAAUAUAUAGGGUUGGAGUUGAGGUCGGUGGAGUUCCAGGGAGCCCACAAGACAGGGGGGCGCGCCCAGGGGGAGGGGCGCGCCCCCAACUCUCGUGGACAGGGUGUGGGCCCCCUGGCCUUGAUUCUUUCGCCAGUAUUUUUUAUAUUUUCCAAAAGUUAUCUCCGUGGAUUUUCAGGUCAUUCCGAGAACUUCUGUUUUCUGCACAAUAAACAACACCAUGGCAGUUUUGCUGAAAAUAGCGUCAGUCCGGGUUAGUUUCAUUCAAAUGAUGCAAGUUAGAGUCCAAAACAAGGGCAAAAGUGUUUGGAAAAGUAGAUACGUUGGAGACGUAUCAACUCCCCCAAGCUUAAACCUUUGCUUGUCCUCAAGAAAUUCAGUUGAUAAACUGAAAGUGAUAAAGAAAAACUUUUACAAACUCUGUUUGCUCUUGUUGUUGUAAAUAUGUAAAGCCAGCAUUCAAGUUUUCAGCAAAGAUUAUGAACUAACCAUAUUCACAAUAACAUUUAGGUCUCAUAUUUACUCAUAUCAAUGGCUUAAUCACCUAGCGAGCAAUAAUAAUAAAACUCAGAUGAAAACACUUUCUCAAAACAAUCAUAAUAUGACAUAACAAGAUGGUAUCUCGCUAGCCCUUUCUGAGACCGCAAAACAUAAAUGCAGAGCACCUUUAAAGAUCAAGGACUGACUAAACAUUGUAAUUCAUGGUAAAAGAGAUCCAGUCAAGUCAUACCCAAUAUAAACUAAUAGUAAUGCAUGCAAAUGACAGAGUGCUCUCCAGCGGGUGCUUUUUAAUAAGAAGGUGACUCAACAAAAAGUAAAUAGAUAGGCCCUUCACAGAGGGAAGCAUGGAUUUGUAGAGGUGCCAGAGCUCGAUUUUAAAAUAUAGAUGAAUAACAUUUUGAGCGGCAUACUUUCAAUGUCAAUGCCACAACUAUGAGAUGUCAAUAUCUUCCAUGCUACAUACAUUAUAGGCGGUUCCCAAACAGAAUGGUAAAAGUUUAUACUCCCCCACCACCAACAAGCAUCAAUCCGUGGCUUGCUCGAAACAACGAGUGCCUCCAACUAGCAACAACCCUGGGGGAGUUUUGUUUAAUUAUUUCAAUUUGCUUUGAUCUUUUUGAUCAUGGGACCGGGCAUCCCGGUUAGCAGCCAUUUUCUCGUGAAUGAGGAGCGGAGUCCACUCCUCUUGAGAAUAACCCACCUAGCAUGUAAGAUACAGACAACCCUAGUUGAAACAUGAGAUGCUCAAGCAUACAAAACAGAAUUUCAUUUGAAGGUUUGGAGUUUGGCACAUACAAAUUUACUUGGAACGGCAGGUAAAUACCGCAUAUAGGAAGGUAUGGUGGACUCAUAUGGAAUAACUUUGGGGUUUAUGGAGUUUGGAUGCACAAGCAGUAUUCCCGCUUAGUACAGGUGAAGGCUAGCAAGAGACUGGGAAGCGACCAACUAAGAGAGCGACAACAGUCAUGAACAUGCAUUAAAAUUAAUCAACACCAGGUGCAAGCAUGAGUAGGAUAUAAUACACCAUGAACAUAAAUAUCGUGAAGGCUAUGUUGAUUUGUUUCAACUACAUGCGUGAACAUGUGCCAAGUCGAGUCACUCAAUUCAUUCAAAGGAGGAUACCACCCUAUCAUACCACAUCACAACCAUUUUAAUAGCAUGUUGGCACGCAAGGUAAACCAUUAUAAACUCCUAGCUAAUUAAGCAUGGCACAAGCAACUAUAAUCUCUAAUUGUCAUUGCAAACAUGUUUAUUCAUAAUAGGCUGAAUCAGGAAUGAUGAACUCAUCAUAUUUACAAAAACAAGAGAGGUCGAGUUCAUACCAGCUUCUCUCAUCUCAAUCAAUCAAUCAUAUAUCGUCAUUAUUGCCUUUCACUUGCAUGACCGAACGGUGUGUAAAAUAAUAAUAGUGCACGUGCAUUGGACUAAGCUGGAAUCUGCUAGCAUUCAAUUCGAGGGAGAAGACAAGGUAAUAUGGGCUCUAAGUUAAAUCAACAAUCAUGCAUAUGAGAGCCACUAAACAUUUUCAUUAUGGUCUUCUCCUCUUGACGCCCAAAGGAAAGAAAAGAAAUAAAACUAUUUACACGGGAAAGCUCCCAACAAGCAAAAGAAGAAUGAGAAAUCUUUUUGGGUUUUCAUUUAAUUACUACUACAAGCAUGGAAAGUAAACUAACUAAUUUUUUUAGUUUUUCUUAAAGUUUAUCAAACACACAAGAAGAAAGCUAGAAAAAUAAAUAAAUUAAACUAGCAUGGAUAAUACAAUGAAAGAGUAUGAGCACCGACAACUAGAAUAGUGUGUGAACAUGAAUGUAUAGUCGGUGUGAAAUACGUACUCCCCCAAGAUUAGGCUUUUGGCCUAAGGUGGUCUAAUGCCAAGGAUCGCUGCUACUCUCCCCGGUGUACUGAGGAGUGUCAUCUGGAUACCACUGACUAGCGAUCUCCUCCGGAUCCCACUGAUAACAGGAUGGACGAUAGGGGUCCAGUGGUGGUUCUGGCUCAGGCUCUGGAGCCGAUGUCUGACCUCGGUGUGCGUACACGGCCUUCGGCAAAAUGAGGUAAUGUCCUGCAGUUAAAUGAAACAAAGAAGGCGCAGGCAAGGUAAUAAUUUCAGUGUGUUUCUUAUUAAAUCUCAGGUUAUACAGAAGCAUCUUAUCAUCAUUGUCAAUAAUAAAUCCAUGCGCUACCAUGCUCCUGUAAUCUAAAAAGGUAGGGGGCAGUAGUGUCUCCUCUUUCUCAUAAUGCCUAAUAGGUAUCUCAAAAUGUUUAGCAAGGCGUGCAGCAUAGAUACCUCGAAAGAUGGGGCCCUUCGUAUGGUUUAGGCUUAACCGUUUAGCAAUAACGGCACCCAUACUAAAAGUGUUAUCACCGAAUAAGGCAUGGAGCAGGAUAAUAAUAUCAGGAACACUGAAGUUUCCACUAUUUCCACGACCAACUAAGCAUCGACUAGUAAAUAUGGAAAAGUAGCGUAAAACAGGAAAAUGUAUGCUAGUGAUUCUCGCAUCGAAACCCUUCCCCAAUUCCCCUACAGUAAUAGUGUCAAUAGAACCUUCCACAUCUUUACGAUGUGGUUCAUCUAAGCUGCCCUCAAAGGGUAUUCUACAAGCCGCGCAAAAAUUACAUAAUGACAUUUCCUUCGCCUCAUCAUAUAAAUGAAAGGCUACUGAAGUAGGUGAAUUCUUAGGAUAAUAGUAAAAGUUUUGCACGAAACUAUUGGUAAGUAAGAGAUACUAUUCGAUCCGGUCGUGGAGGAAGUCGGUGAGGCCCGCAUUUUCAGCCAAAGAAUAAAAGUCUUCAUAAAUCCCGACUGCUCUCAAGAAAUUAUCACAUGGCCACUCACAAGGCCGUACUUCCGCUACGCGAGGAAGAUUAUACAUGGCCUUUUCUUUCUCCUUAGGCUGUUUAUCCUUAGAGCUUUGACUAGAAGAGCCCCUCAAUAAUCUCCUCAUCAUUUUCUGAAAAUUUCUGAAAUUUUUAGUAACUUCAAAAUAAAAGUGAAUCAAACUAAACAAGAUUUAUAGAAACUACUCCCACAAGUGCCUAGAGCCUAUAUCAUGCAUUAGAAUUACUUGGGACCUCAUAAAUUUGACAUGCAAGCUCAAGAACAGGGUAACCUAUGCAGCAAAAAUUUGCAAUGAAUAAAGCACUAGAACAAUAAGUAAUUGGACCAAUGGAGGAGUCACAUACCAAGCAACAAUCUCCCAAAGUAGUUCUGCGAAUGGAGCUUUGGGCAAGGGGAUUGAAAAUCGCAGCAAAAUGAGCUAGGACUCGUGCUUGAGCUGGAUGGGGAUUUUUUUGGGAGGAAGAUGGAGUGUGUGGGUGCAGGAAUAAGUGGAGGGGGGCCAUCAUGGGCCCACGAGGCAGGGGGCGCGCCCAGGGGGAGUGGGCGCACCCUGGACCCUCGUGGCCACGUGCUUGCCCCCUGCUGUGUUCUCAGUGCCUAAAAUCCUCAAAUAUUCCAUAAAAAUCAUACUAAAAUUGCAGGGCAUUUGGAGAACUUUUUAUUUUUGGGAUAUUUUUAUUGCAUUGAUAAUUCAGAAAAUAGACUGAUAAUACUAUUUUUGCUUUAUUUAUUCUAAAUAACAGAAAGUAAAAAGAGAGUACAGAAGGUUGUGCCUUCUAGUUUCAUCCAUCUCAUGAUCAUCAAAAGGAAUCCACUAACAAGGUUGAUCAAGUCUUGUUAACAAACUCAUUCCGAAUAACAUGGAACCGGAGAAAUUUCGAAUAACACUAGGUUACCUCAACGGGGAUAUGAACAUCCCCAAUAAUAAGAAUAUCAUAUUUUUUCUUGACAGUAGGGAGAGGAAAUUCAAAACCUCCAAUAAUGAUAGUUGGAAUUUUUCCAAUAGAAUUGAUACUAUGAACUUGAGGUUGUUUCCUCGGAAAGUGUACCGUAUGCUCAUUACCAUUAACAUGAAAAGUGGCAUUGCCUUUCUUGCAAUCAAUAACAGCCCCUGCAGUAUUCAAAAAGGGUCUACCAAGGAUAAUCGACAUACUAUCGUCCUCGGGAAUAUCAAGAAUAACAAAGUCCGUUAAGAUAGUGAGAUUUGCAACCACAACAGGCACAUCCUCACAAAUACCGAUAGGUAUAGCAGUUAAUUUAUUAGCCAUUUGCAAAGAUAUUUCAAUAGGUGUCAACUUAUUCAAUUCAAGUCUACGAUAUAAAGAGAGAGGCAUAACACUAACACCGGCUCCAAGAUCACAUAAAGCAGUUUUAAUAUAGUUACUUUUAAUGGAGCAUGGUAUAGUUGGUACUCCUGGAUCUCCAAGUUUCUUUGGUAUUCCACCCUUAAAAGUAUAAUUAGCAAGCAUGGUGGAGAUUUCAUCUUCCGGUAUCUUUCUUUUAUUUGUAAUGAUAUCCUUAGUAUAAUUAGCAUAGGUAUUUACUUUAAGCAUAUCAGUAAGCGUAUACGUAAGAAGAUAGGUCUAAUCAUUUCAGCAAAGCACUCAAAAUCCUCAUCAUCCUUUGUCUUGGAUGGUUUAGGAGGAAAAGGCAUGGGUUUCUAAACCCAUGGUUCUCUUUCUUUACCGUGCUUCCUAGCAACAAAGUCUCUUUUCUCAUAACGUUGAUUCUUUGAUUGUGGGUUAUCAAGAUCAACAACAGGUUCAAUCUCUACAUCAUUAUUAUUGUUAGGUUGAGCAUCAACAUAAACAUUAUCAUUAGGUUCAUGUUCAUCACCUGAUUGUGUUUCAGCAUCAGAAACAGAAAUAUCAUUGGGAUUCUCAUGUGUGUCUACAACAGGUUCACUAGAAGCAUGCAAAGUCCUAUCAUUUUUUUUCUUUUUAGAAGGACUAGGUGCAUCUAAAUUAUUUCUUUGAGAAUCCUGCUUGAUUCUCUUAGGGUGGCCUUCAGGAUACAAAGGUUCUUGAGUCAUUCUACCAGUUCUAGUAGCCACUCUAACGGCAAAGUCAUGUUUAUUAUUUAAUUCCUCGAGCAAAUCACUUUGAGCUUUAAGUACGUACUUGUUCUGCUUCAGUGGUAACCAUAGAAGCAUAUUUGCUAAUGAGUUUAAGUUCACCUUUAACUCUAGCCAUGUAAUCACUCAAACGUCCUCUCAUGAAAGCAUUACUCUUUAACUCUCUACCAACAUAAGCAUUAAAACUUUCUUGUCUAGCCAUAAAAUCAUCAAAUUCAUCUAAACAUUGGCUAGGAAAUUUAGUAGACGGGAUAUCAACCUUAUCAUAUCUAUGGAGAGAAUUUACCUUUACUACAUGUGUCGAGUUAUCAAGACAAUGUGUUUCUUCAACAGGUGGUAUAUUAAGACCAUGUAUUUCUUCAAUAGGAGGUAAAUUCUUAACAUCUUCAGCUUUAAUACCUUUUUCUUUCAUUGAUUUCUUUGCCUCUUGCAUAUCUUCAGGACUGAGAAAUAGAACUCCCCUCUUCUUCGGAGUUGGUUUAGGAAUAGGCUCAGGAGUUGGCUCAAUUGGCUCAAGAAUUGGCUCAGGAAGAGUCCAAUUAUUUUCAUUAGUCAACAUAUUAUUCAAUAACAAUUCAGCUUGGUCGACUGUUCUUUCCCUGAAAACACAACCAGCACAAUUAUCCAAGUGGUCCUUGGAAGCAUCGGUUAGUCCAUUAUAAAAGAUAUCAAGUAUUUCAUUUUUCUUAAGAGGAUGAUCAGGCAAAGCAUUAAGUAAUCGGAGAAGCCUCCCCCAAGCUUGUGGGAUACUCACUUCUUCGAUUUGCACAAAAUUAUAUAUUUCCUGCAAGGCAGCUUGUUUCUUAUUAGCAGGGAAAUAUUUAGCAGAGAAGUAAUAAAUCAUAUCCUGGGGACUACGCACACAACCAGGAUCAAGAGAAUUAAACCAAGUUUUAGCAUCACCCUUUAAUGAGAAUGGAAAUAUCUUAAGGAUAUAAUAAUAGCGAGACUUCUCAUCAUUAGUAAAUAGGGUGGCUAUAUCAUUUAACUUGGUAAGAUGUGCCACAACAGUUUCAGAUUCAUAGCCAUAAAAAGGAUCAGAUUCAACCAAAGUAAUUAUCUCAGGAUCAACAGAGAAUUCAUAAUCCUUAUCAGUAACAAAGAUAGUCGAAGUAGCAAAAGCAGGGUGAUAUUUCAUUCUAGCAUUCAGAGUUUUCUGUUUAAGUUUAGCUAGUAACUUCUUAAGAUCAGAUCUAUCAUUGCAAGCAAAAAGAUCUCUAGCAGUUUCUUCAUCCAUAACAUAACCCUCAAGAACAACAUGCAAUUCAUACUUAGGGGGAGAACCUUCAUCAUCACUAUCAUCAAUAAUUUCAUCUUCAAUAACUUCAUUCUCUCUAACCCUAGCAAGUUGUUCAUCAAGAUAUUCACCUAAUGUCACAGUAGUAUCAAGCAUAGAAGUAGUUUCAUCAUAAGUAUCAUGCAUAGCAGAAGUGGCAUCAUCAAUAACAUGCGACAUAUCAGAAUUCAUACCAGUAACAGGUUUAGGUGUCGCAAGUUUACUCAAAACAGAAGGAGAAUCUAGUGCAGAGCUAGAUGGCAGUUCCUUACCUCCCCUCGUAGUUGAGGGAAAAAUCUUAGUUCUUUCGUCUUUCAAGUUCCUCAUAGUGAUCAGCAGAUAUAAAUUCCAAGUGACUCAAAGAAUAGAGCUAUGCUCCCCGGCAACGGUGCCAGAAAAUAGUCUUGAUAACCCACAAGUAUAGGGGAUCGCAACAGUUUUCGAGGGUAGAGUAUUCAAUCCAAAUUUAUUGAUUCGACACAAGGGGAGCCAAAGAAUAUUCUCAAGUAUUAGCAGUUGAGUUGUCAAUUCAACCACACCUGGAUAACUUAGUAUCUGUAGCAAAGUAUUUAGUAGCAAAGUAGUAUGAUACUAAUGGUAACAAUGAUAAAAGUGACGAUAGCAGUUUUGUAGCAAUUGUAAUAGUAGCAACGGAAAAGUAAAUAAGAGAAGCACAAUAUGUGAAAAGCUCGUAGGCAUUGGAUCAGUGAUGGAUAAUUAUGUCGGAUGCAAUUCAUCAUGUAAUAGUUAUAACAUAGGGUGACACAGAACUAGCUCUAGUUCAUCAAUGUAAUGUAGGCAUGUAUUCCGAAUAUAGUCAUACGUGCUUAUGGAAAAGAACUUGCAUGACAUCUUUUGUCCUACCCUCCCGUGGCAGCGGGGUCCUAAUGGAAAAUAAGGGACAUUAAGGCCUCCUUUUAAUAGAGUACAGGACCAAAGCAAUAGCACUUAGUGAAUACAUGAACUCCUCAAACUACGGUCAUCACCGAGAAGUAUCCCGAUUAUUGUCACUUCGGGGUUGUCGGGUCAUAACACAUAAUAGGUGACUAUAGAGUUGCAAGAUAGGAUCAAGAACUCACAUAUAUUCAUGAAAACAUAAUAGGUUCAGAUAUGAAAUCAUGGCACUCGGGCCCUACUGACAAGCAUUAAGCAUAGCAAAGUCAUAGCAACAUCAAUCUCAGAACAUAGUGGAUACUAGGGAUCAAACCCUAACAAAACUAACUUGAUCACAUUGUAAAUCUCAUCCAACCCAUCACCAUCCAGCAAGCCUACGAUGGAAUUACUCACGCAUGGCGAUUAGCAUCAUGAAAUUGGUGAUGGAGGAUGGUUAAUGAUGAUGACGGCGACGAAUCCCCCUCUCCGGAGCCCCGAACGGACUCCAGAUCAGCCCUCCCAAGAGAGAUUAGGGCUUGGCGGCGGAUCCGUAUUGUAAAACGCGAUGAAACUUUCUCUCUGAUUUUUCUCUUUGUGAAACGAAAUAUAUAGAGUUGGAGUUGAGGUCGGUGGAGCUCCAGGGGGCCCACGAGACAGGGGGCGCGCCCAGGGGGAGGGUGCACGCCCCCCACCCUCGUGGACAGGGUGUGGGCCCCCUUGCCUUGAUUCUUUCGCCAGUAUUUUUUAUAUUUUCCAAAAGUUAUCUCCAUGGAUUUUCAGGUCAUUCUGAGAACUUUUGUUUUCUGCAUAAUAAACAACACCAUGGCAGUUCUACUGAAAAUAGCGUCAGUUCGGGUUAGUUUCAUUCAAAUCAUGCAAGUUAGGGUCCAAAACAAGGGCAAAAGUGUUUGGAAAAGUAGAUACGUUGGAGACGUAUCAGAUGGCUCUGAGUUAAGUUAUCAGGAGAAAAAUCAUCUGGUCGCAUAUUGUACUGAAUUUGAGAAUUACAAUGCCUAUUAUCGAACUCCUCCACAUUAUGGUCAAUACGUGCCACUAGUGCAUGUGUUGAACCAUGAUAACUUCCAUGGAGAUGCCCUGGUAAGAUUUUUUACUAUUAUGACAUCCGUGCAUCUUUUGCAUACUUCUAAAACUGAACUACAUUGCUAACUACGAAGUUAUUACUAUGACUUUCAAUAGAAAAUCCCAAUGGAUUGUGUACCUCAUUUGAUGUAUCAGAAUGGUCGCCUUGAUGUUUUGAACAUACAGCUAGGUCGUCCUACGAAUCUCACCUGUCCAUACCGGAUUUCUAAAACCGGUGAACACACGAUAAUCAAUGAAUCAAAAAAAAGUAUGAACAGUCGUAAGGAGGUUCUUGGAAGCAACAUUGUGCGAAAGGCAAGAAUUGGAGAUAGGAUAAUCUCCAUUCUCCGUAAUGUAGAGUCAGGGGCUAUCUUGUUUUAUGCUAUUUUACCUAAGAGAAUAUAGUAGGUCCUAAGAGAAUGUAAUAGGUCCUAUGAGGUACAAUAUGUUAAAGAGAGUUGAUGAUGAGGAGUAGUUGUGAUUAUGACUAGUGACCAACUUGUAUGUGAUGUCUCAUUGAUGAAAACGAUGAUCAUGAGGAGGUGUUAUAUGACAAUGAUGUAUUACGAUGAUAAGUUGUUAAUGAUAUGAUGAUGAUAAUGAUGAUGAUGAUGAUGAUGAUGAUGAUGAUGAUGAUGAUGAUAUUUAUUAUAUCAUUGGGUGAAAGAACCGCGGAUUAGUUUCAAGUGGAUGUCCAUCCACUUGAAACUAGUCAACGAUUCUUUCUCCCAGUAAUGUAAUAACUCAUUAUGAUGUAAAAACAAUAUCUAAAUUGCUGCGGUAUGAAAACUUGUAUAAAGGUGUAUGAAUACAACAUGAAAUAAAAAAGAACUAAAAUACAGAAUAAUAUUAGUAGCGCAUGCUCGGAGAAGCGCUACUACUAAUUACUAGUAGCUCUCAUUGUAGAAAGCGCUACUACUAAGUCGAUAUAGCACUAGCAUGGUCCAACCCAUGCUACUACUAACCUUUAGCUGUAGCGCCUUACUAGUAGCGCGGUUCCCCGCGCUACUGAUAGGCAUUAAACACGCGCUACUGCUAGGGUUUUCCCUAGUAGUGACGUAAGCCGCAUUGGGGGCCCGGAUUUAAACUCGGGAGCGGCAGCCCAUGUGGCAUCACGGGGCUCUGUGAUAUAGAACCAGCCCUGCUGCCAUCCUUUGACGCUCUCCACGAAGGUCCCUGUUGGCCAAUUGACGUUGGGGAGCUUGCUCACCAUGGCACCGCCGCACUCUACAUGUUGGCCCUCGACCACCUUCGGCUUCACGUUGAAGACCUUGAGCCAUAGACCAAAGUGGGGAGGGAUGCAGAGGAAUGCCUCACACAUAAUGAUAAACACCGAGAGGUUGAGGAAAGAAUUUGGGGCUAGAUCAUGAAAAUCUAGCCCGUAGUAGAACAUAAGACCGCGGACAAAAGGAUGAAGGUGAAACCCUAGUCCGCAAAGGAAAUGGGGGAUAAAAACUACCCUUUCGUUAGGCUCUGGAGUGGGGAUGAUCUGCCUUUUGGCAGGAAGCUAGUGAACUAUGUCUGUGGCUAGGUACCCAGCUUCUCGGAGCUCUGUGAUGUUCUCCUGUGUAACAGAGGAGGCCAUCCACUUGCCCUGUGCUCCAGAUCCAGACAUGGCUAGGAGUGCUUGGGGGCAAAGGAAAGUACUGAGACUUGGGCGUUGGAGCUCGAGUGGCGGAUAGGCAGAGGAAGGAGAAGGCGUGGGGUAAAGAGGCGGAACCUUAUCCUCUUAUAAAGGUAGCGAAUGUCAAACACCCCCUCACAAGCUGUAAUCUCACCUAUUCCCUAGGGGACGUGUGAACGGCACGGUUGGAUAACCCAAACCCUCAUUAUGAAAAUCUCGUAAUAAGGGGACACGAUCUCUACUUUGACAAGACAUGUCGAUGACCGUGCCUUGAAAUAUGAAAUGGGGUUGUGAAACAGUUCAGAACAAUAAUAAGGCCAGAACAUAACAUCUCACCAAAGAAAGUGACCCACAGACGUGAUUUAUUUUAAGAAUUGUUGCUUUUUACAGCUCAGGGUUGUACGUGUUAAACAAGGCCGAACACAGUUCUUGUGUGCAGAAAACUAUGUUGAAGUAUUCGGGAAAGGGGAACCCGCCUCGCAAUGCCGAAGACAGUCCAUGAGCUGGAUAUAUCGUCAUUGAAGCCUGGUUCAGGGGCUACUGAGGGAGUCCUGGACUAAGGGGUCCUUGGGCGUCUGGGCUAUGUGAUGUGCCGGACUGAUGGGCCAUGAAGAUACAAGAUAGAAGAACCUUCCCUUUGUCCAGAUGGGACUCUCCUUUGCGUGGAUGGCAAGCUUGGCGUUCGGAUUAUGCACUUUCCUUCUUCUGUAACCGACUUUAUACAACCCUAUAUCCCUCCGGUGUCUAUAUAAAUCGGAGGGUUUAGUCCGUUGGGCAAGAUCACAAUCAUACAUGCUAGACAUCUAGGGUUUAGCCACUACGAUCUCGAGGUAGAUCAACUAUUGUAACCCCUACAUUCAUCAUAGUCAAUCAAGCAGGAAGUAGGGUAUUACCUCCAUUAAGAGGGCCCGAACCUGGGUAAACAUUGUGUCCCUUGCCUCCUUGUUACCUUCGAUCCUCAGACGCACAGUUCGGUACCCCCUACCCGAGAUCUACUGGUUUUGACACCGAGAGGGGCUGCACCCAAUGCCUCCCCACCAUAAUAAAGGUGUGGAGGGGGCUGCUGGCUUGCCCUCCAAGGCCCUAGGGUCGUUGGUCAAAGGGGAAGGAAGGAAAUCCCUCCUUUUCUUCCCCCUUAGUCGCUAUCCCCCCUUUUUAAGGAUCCUAAUCUUAUCCCUUCGGGAAAUGGUACUAUUCAUUUUAAGGGAGAAUCAUGGUGUGUAAGUGCAUCUAGUGCCCCUUAGUGAUUUUGGUGUAUUGAAGACUUAUAGGUUAAGGGACUAAUGCGUUUGUGAGUGUACACAGGUCUAUAAGUCUAUGAGGAGUCUGAUAUUUGCAGAGAAAGUCGACCCCUCAAAAUGAAGUUCUUCAAGUGAAGACUUUGAUAUUCUGAAGACUUUCUGAAGACUUUGAAAGUGAAGAAAUUGGUGUGACCUUGAAGACUUGGUAUUCAUUUCUGGAACAUGAAGCGUGAAGACUUUUGUUUUCGUAGUUUCAUUUUCUCUUUCUUGAGUCAUAGGAAACACCGUACUGUUAAAGGGGGUCGAGGAAAUACUUAGGAAAAAUUUCCAUGUGAUGCUCAACUCAAAAUCCUACACCUACCAAUCCCUUCGAGUGAAGCCUUUGGAAAUCUCAUACAGUUCAGCCACUUUCUUCAGUGACAGAGACGAAGUUCUUCUGGUCACUGAUGAAUUUGUUCUGACUGAGGAGUUAGGAAUUCGCCAGUGCGAAUUACCUACACGGUGAGGAACAUGAUAGCCCUGAGGAAUUUGAGAGUCAAAUUUCUGACUGUUGUUGUGCUGCGCGCCAGCUGUCCCAAAAUAUCUUAUCCACCUAACGGUCAUAUCAUUGAGGGGCAUUUAUGUCUUAUCAUGUCGGGCUGCUCCCUAGGCUAUAAAUAGCCGCCCCCUACAACCACUAGUUGGUUGGCUGCUCCGAGAAAACUUGACACUUGUCAUUUGAGAGCAACCCAUCCUUCGAGGACUUUGAGCGAAAAUCAUCAAGUGAGGAAAAUCCCAAACCCAAACACCUACAAACCCCAAAGUGAUUGAGCAUCACUCAAGAAAUUGAUCCUGCGUGGAUCCGACGCUUGUUACCUUUGAAGACUGUGCUUCUUCCAGACGGUUAGGCGUCAAGGUCUAGAGCAUCCAAGAGGAAUUGUGGAUCGCCGAGUGACCAAGUCUGUGAAGGUUUGGAAGUCGCCUGAAGACUUACCACGAGUGAUUGGACGGGAUCUGUGUGAUCUUAGUUCAAGGAGAAUACGGUGAGGACUGGGUGUCCUGAGCUGCGUGCUCAGAGACUGGGUGUCCGGGACUGCGUGUCCUCGAGUUUAAAUACUCAGCCGCUCCAACCAGACGUACAACUAAGACAGCAGUUGGAACUGGUUUACCAAAUCAUUAUCUUCACCAACCUACUGGUUCUAUUUCCUCAACCCUUUCAUUUCCUCAUUACCGUGUUGGGUGUUUGUUCAUAUCUGUGUUUGAAGACUUUGACUGAAGACUUUCUCAAUUUCCUCAGUUCAAUUUCUUCAGUCUGUUUGGCUUCAUCUUGUGUUAUCCUGUGAUUACGCUUUCUGUACUCUGUGCUAGUCUUCAUUUCAUCAUGAUGACCAUGCUUGUAUUCUGUUAUGCUUACUUCUGAGUACUUAUUCCGCUGCUAAUAGUUCUUCGCUAAGGAAUUUCCUCACCUGCAAAUUCCUCAGUGAAGAAUUCAUAAAAAUCGCCUAUUCACCCCCCUCUAGUCGACAUAAUGCACUUUCAAUUGGUAUCAGAGCAAGGUACUCCAUUGUUCUGUGUGAUUUUGGUUUAACCGCCUGGAGUUUUAGUUAUGUCGACCGCAGGUAUGAUCAAGGUCUCGGUUGGGUGUCCUACCUUUGAUGGAACGGACUACCCCUACUGGAAAAACAAGAUGCGAAUGCAUCUCGAGGAAAUUGACAACGGUCUCUGGUAUGUUGUGGAAAAUGGUGUUCCCUCUGUUUCACCCUCACUGAACUCUACCGAUGUGAAGAGAUUCAAGCAACUCGAUUCUCAAGCGAAGAAUAUCAUAUGUGGCCAUCUGAGUAAAGGACAGUAUGGAAGAGUGAGUACUUUGGAAACUGCUAAGCUUAUCUGGGAUAGGCUAUCCAAAGUGAAUGAAAGAGUCUCAACUCAGCGUGACUCUCGAGUUGAUGUUCUUCGAAAUCUCUUCAACCGCUUCAAAAGACUCGACAAUGAAAAUGUCCAACAAAUCUUCGAUCGCCUCACUGACAUCUCAAAUGAGCUUCAAGCCCUCGGUGCCACUGACAUCACUGACCAUGAGGUGGUGAAGAAACUGUUGAGAUCGCUUGAUUCCUCAUUUGAUACUCUGGGUCUGAUGAUACAAGAACAGGCUGACUACAAGUCUCUUGAUCCUGCUGAUAUCCUCAAAAGGCUAAAUACUCACGAGUUCCAGCUUGCUGAAAAGAGAGAUCUCUAUGGUUCGAGCUAUGGCAAACCACGUGCCCUGAAGGCCAAGGUUGUGUCUGAGUCUGAAUGUGAGGACUCUGGUAGUAGCCUUGGUGAUCCUGAAGAACUGAGCCAGGAGCUAGCACUGCUCGUGAAGAAAUUCCAGAAGUUCUCAAGACGUGGUCGCUUUGGAAAAUCCUCAAGAAGCAGUGAUUCCUCAUCAAGUGACUAUAAGAGAAGGCUGUGCCACAAAUGCAAGAAACCUGGUCAUUAUAUUCAAGAUUGUCCUCAGUGGGAAAAGGAAUUGAAGAAGAAGAAAUACAAGGAUUACAGUUCUGAUGAUGCGAAGAAGAAGAAGAAAUCGUCAAAAUCUUCGUCAUCAAAAUCCUCGAAGUCUUCAUCUCACAAGAAGAGCAGCUCCAAGAAGGCUCGGGCAUUCAUUGGCAAGGAAAUGGACUCUGAAGCUGAAUCUGAGGAAAAUGAGGAAGAGGAGGCGUCUGAAGAAUCCGAAUCUGGUGUGGCAAGUCUGGCCUUUGCUACUGCUUUCGUUAGCAAGUUCAUCUUCAACACUGAAGAAACUGACCCCACCGACAAGCCUGAUGAAGAUAAUGAGGACUACGCUCCCACCUAUUGCUUCAUGGCAAAAGGUGCAAAGGUACUCAAAUACACCUCCCCUGAAUCUAGUGAAAAUGAAUCUGAUGAGAAUCUCAAGCCCAGCUACUCUAAACUUGCAAAGAUUGCUGUAAAACAACAAAGGGCUUUUGAAAAGGUUCAAAACAUGCUAGACAAAAGUGAUGAUAUGUUGGGUGAAGAAAUGGAUCGUAAAGCCCUAACUGAAAAUCUUCAGAGACUUCAGUCUAGGUUUGAUAACCUUCAAAGUCAUCAUAACACUCUCUUAUCUGAUCAUGAGAAACUUUCUUGUGAACUUCUUCAAAGAAAGCAAGAUCUUGAGAAGCUAAGAGUGAGUUAUGAAGAUCUUCAGAAGGAGCGCGAUUCAUUACUUGCUCAACAAAUCAGCACUUCUCAGGAAGAAUUUGUUCCUCCAUGCUUAAAAUGCAUUGAACGUGAAUCUGCUAAUUGUUCACCUGAAUGUUCAAAUGCUUCAACUGUUACAAAUUCUUCACCUGCCUCUGCUAUCACUAAUUCCUCAUCUGAGGACAUUGCUAGUAUCACUGACGAUGCAGGGCUAAAGGAAUUGUACACGACAGGCAUGUACAAAAGCCUCAAAGGGCAUCAGAUUCUUUGUGAUGUGCUCAAAAAGCAGAUCCUAAAUAGAAACCCUUGAAAAGAGGGUAUUGCCUUUGAGAGGAAACUUAAUGCUGAUGGAACAUAUUGGAAGCCUGAGCAGUACCCCAAAACCUCAUGGGUUGCUGCAAAGGGACCUCCAGUUGAUCCAUCCAUGUUAUCUGGCUUUACAUGUGAAUCUCCUCGUUCUUCUGAUGAGUCAUUUGACUCCAACUAUAAACAGUUCAAAAAUCAGAAUGGUGAAGUAUUUGCUAGAUAUGUUGGGACUAACUGCAGGAACGGUUCCCCUAUGAAGAAAAUAUGGGUUCCCAAAAGUUAUGUUGAAAGUAUUCAGGUGAAUGUCCUCAUGACACCACCUGUGAAGAAUGGGAACCCCAGAACAAACUCUUCAUAUGGACCUAAUUCUUCAUAUGGAUCCAAGUCCUCAUAUGGACCAAAUUCCUCACGUGGAUCAAAUUCCUAAAAUGGAUCAAAGUCCUCAUAUGACUAUCAUCGUGCUAACAACUCUGUUUCGCAGGGUAGAGCUAAGGGCUACGAAUAUGCACAUUAUUCUUCAAAUCAUUAUAUUCAUAAGUCCUCGAAGAAUUUCUCUGCUUACUCAUAUGCUUACCCUAACCCCUCUUAUGUGAAACGAAAUGGUUUGGCUUCUAUGCCACCAUUCUCAUAUGGUGCUCGCAGAGUGGUGAACUCUUUGCCACCCCUUCAGAUGUGGGUGGUGAAGAAAAAGAACUAAUCUCUUCUGCAGGGUCAGGUCUCCAGACGUGCCUUAACGUCUGAAGAAUUUGCUGGGGACCUAACAAAAUCGCCUAAAAGGACGCAGGCUAACCAUGAUGAAAUGAACUUUCAUUUCACACCUCCUCAUACUGCUAUAUCUGUUUACCGCUUGAUGAAAUUCAUCUGAUGAACUUAAUAUCAUAUUCUUCACUGAUGAAGCAUAUGAGAUUGUAAGUUACACUAAUUCAUCUGCAGGAUGACCAACCCAAAACCACUGAAUGGGUCCUCGAUAGUGGAUGUACAAAUCACAUGACUGGUGAAAAGAAUCUUUUGAUGGAUGCUCCUUUAUCACCGUCACAUCUGAAGCAUAUCAUCUUUGCUGACAAAGGCAAAAGUCAGGUAUUGGGUCUUGGUAAGGUUGCGAUCUCUAAGGAUAAACACAUGGACAAAGUCAUGCUUGUUGAGUCCUUAGGAUACAACCUCAUGUCAGUCUCAAUGCUUUGUGAUCUUGAUAUGGUUGUUGUAUUUGGCAAGUAUCGCUGUGUUGUGAUUAUGGAAGCUGACAAUUCCAAAGUCUUCGAAGGCUUUAGGAGAGGAGAUUUGUAUAUUGUUGAUUUCUCUACAGGACCACAACCAGCCGUGUGUCUACUUGCAAAAGCGUCAGAAGGCUGGCUAUGGCAUCGACGACUUGGUCACGCAGGCAUGAGGAAUUUGCACACGCUUGCGAAGAAGAAGCAUGUCAUUGGCAUUGAGAAUGUCAAAUUCCUCAAGGAUCACUUAUGCGGAGCCUGUGAAGCUGGAAAAAUGACCAAGGCCAAGCAUCCAGCGAAGACUAUCAUGACCACUACUCGUCCAUUCGAAUUGCUUCACAUGGACCUCUUUGGACCUAAUCAUUACUCAGCAUUCUCUAAUGCUGCAUCUCUAUAUGGUUUUGUCAUUGUUGAUGAUUACUCUCGAUAUACAUGGGUACACAUUGUUACUUACAAACAUGAAGUGCAGGAAGUCUUCAAACGGUUCUCCUCGAGGGCUUCAACCAACUUUGGUGUGAAGAUCAAACACAUCAGAAGUGACAAUGGAACUGAGUUCAAGAAUUCCGGUCUUGAUGACUAUCUUGAUGAACUUGGUAUUACUCAUGAGUUAUCUGCUCCUUAUACUCCUCAGCAAAAUGGCGUCGUGGAGCGCAAGCACAGAACUCUUGUUGAGAUGGCUCGCACUAUGCUUGAUGAAUACAAAACGCUUCAUCGUUUUUGGAUUGAUGCAAUUGAUACUGCGUGCCACAUCAUCAACAGAGUAUAUCUUCACAAAUUCUUCAAGAAGACGGCCUAUGAACUCCUCACUGACAAGAAACCCAAUGUGAGUUAUUUCAAAGUCUUCGGUGCUAAAUGUUGGAUUAGAGAUCCUCACCACAAUUCUAAAUUCGCACCGAAAGCACAUGAAGGUUUUAUGCUUGGUUACGGAAAGGACUCGCACACCUACAGAGUCUUCAACAUUGUUCUUCACAAGAUUGUUGAAACUGUAGAUGUGCGGUUCGAUGAAACUAAUGGCUCGCAAAGAGAGCACCUACCUUCUGUGUUAGAUGAACCAGCACCUGAGGAUUCUAUCAAGUUCAAGGCAACUGAAGAUGUCAUUCCUACUGAAGAAUUUGCUGAAGAAUUCAUUCCAGUACGCGAAGAACAUCGAGCUGACGCACCUGAAGACAAUGGUGCUGAGGAAAAUGAUCAAAUACCUCGACGUCAACCAGCUCAUCCUCGCGUUGCAAAAGAAGUACAAGUUGACAAGAUCAUCGAUGACAUUGAAGCGCCAGGUCCUCUCACACGCUCAAAAGCUUCACAUUUGUCUAACUUUUGUGGGCACUAUGCUUUUGUCUCUAUCACAGAGCCCACUAAGGUAGAUGAAGCAUUUUUGGAGCCGGAGUGGAUUCAGGCUAUGCAAGAAGAAUUACAUCAGUUCGAGCUCAACAAUGUCUGGGAACUGGUCAAAUGUCCAGAUCCUCACAAGCAUAAUAGCAUUGGCACAAAGUGGAUCUACCGCAACAAGCAAGAUGAAAAUGGCCUUGUGGUAAGGAAUAAGGCACAACUGGUAGCUCAAGGCUACACACAGGUUGAAGGAAUUGAUUUCGAUGAAACUUUUGCACCUGUUGCUAGACUUGAGGCUAUUCGCAUAUUACUUGCUUAUGCUAAUCAUCAUGAUAUCAUCUUAUAUCAAAUGGAUGUGAAAAGUGCAUUCCUCAAUGGUAAGCUUGAGGAAGAAGUAUAUGUUGCUCAACCCCCAGGUUUUGAAGAUCCAAAGAAUCCUGACAAAGUCUUCAAACUUAAUAAGGCCCUCUAUGGCCUCAAGCAAGCCCCUCGGGCGUGGUAUGAUACAUUGAAGGAAUUCUUCGUGAAGAAUGGCUUCACACCCGGUUCACUCGACCCUACUCUCUUUACUAAAUCAUAUGAUGGUGAACUGUUUGUGUGCCAAAUAUAUUGAUGAUAUUAUCUUUGGCUGUACUGACCAACGUUAUAGUGAUGAAUUUGCCUAUAUGAUGAGUGAAGAAUAUCAAAUGUCUAUGAUGGGAGAGUUGAAAUUUUUCUUAGGUCUUCAAAUUCGUCAACAGCGCAAUGGCAUAUUCAUAUCUCAGGAGAAAUACCUCAAAGAUGUACUGAGGAAAUUCGGCAUGCAAGAUUGCAAAGGCGUCAAAAUUCCUAUGCCCACAAAAGGCCAUCUAUGCACUGAUGGAAAUGGUAUUGACUUCGAUCACAAGGUAUACCGCUCCAUGAUUGGUUCUUUAUUGUACUUAUGUGCAUCUAGGCCAGAUAUAAUGCUUAGUGUUUGCAUGUGUGCCCGAUUUCAACCUGCACCGAAGGAAUCACACCAUAAGGCUGUGAAGCAUAUUCUUCGAUAUCUAGCUCACACACCAACACUAGGAUUAUGGUACCCCAAGGGCUCUGUUUUUAUCUCAUUGGAUAUUCUGACUCUGACUAUGCUGGUGAUCAUGUGGACCGCAAGUCAACUUCUGGCACUUGUCAUUUCCUGGGACGAUCUUUGGUCUAUUGGUCCUCGAAGAAACAGAACUGCGUAUCACUGUCUACUACGGAAGCUGAAUACAUUGCUGCUGGCUCUUGCUGUGCUCAACUGCUUUGGAUGAAGCAAACGCUCAAGGACUAUGGCGUCAACGUGAAGAAUGUGCCUCUCCUCUGCGACAAUGAGAGUGCCAUCAAGAUUGCUCACAACCCAGUUCAGCACUCGAAGACAAAGCACAUUCAGAUUCGUCAUCAUUUUCUUCGUGAUCAUGUGUUGAAGGGCGACAUCUCCAUCGAGCACGUGAAGACUGAAGAACAGUUAGCUGAUAUCUUCACUAAGCCCUUGGAUGAGAAGAGAUUUAGCAAGUUGUGGUGUGAACUAAAUAUCUUAGAAUCUUCGAAUGUUCUUUGAAAAGGACACACAUCCUAACACUUAUGCAAAAUUGAUGACUUAGAUGUGCAACACAUGAAGAAACGUUUUUCUUUAAUCAAUGAAGAAUAACACUCUAAGUGUGAAGAAAUUAAUGAAGAAUUUGAUUCUCAGAACCCUACGACAAAUUGUACGCGGUGUCUGAAAUCAUCAUUCUUAUACGGUGGGUCACACCACCACAAAAAGUUGAAAAUCCUCAAUUUUAGUUUUUCCUCAGUUUUGAAAUUCUUCAAUUUUUGAAAUUCUUCAACUUUACAAAAUCUUCAUUGUUCCCUUCAUUUUUCUUCAUUGGCUAUAUAUAUAUAUGAGUUUAUGUCCCUACAGCAUUCACUUAUAGCUAUUUCUUCAAGUUGCUUUUUCUGUUAAGUGAAUGUGAUCGGACCCUUCCCCUCUAUGCUAUACUCAACCCAAUCUAUUCACAAAUUCUUCAUGUGCGUUCUAUUUGAAACUCGUUCAAAGUCUUCACUGUGUCCUUGGUAGCUGAAGAAAUUGCGAACGAAACUUUAAAACAAAUCUUAUCCAAAUUUUCAGUUUUGCCGCUCAAACUGUUCCGCAUCCCACGAUGCAUUAUUCUAUUCACCCACGAUCGUCACGAUCUCCACUACACAGUACGUGGGUGACACAUGUCGCGUGAAGGAGAAAGGGCAGGGGCACGUUCGUCCUAAAUCUUCGGGCGAACAGUUUUUCACCGUGUCUAUAAAUACCCCUCUCCCCUUCCUCACUUCAUUUACUCCGCUCGACCAUCUCUCUCCCGCUCGAGCUCCUCAAACCCUAGCGCCACCGCUACUGCAUCGUCGCCGGUGAGGAAGAGCUUCGCUGCCUCGACCUCGUCGCCGUCGUACUCACGCCGACCACAGAAAUCUUCACUCCACAGCCGCCGUAGAUGUCUUCCUCCGCCGAGUUAGGGAAAGGAAGAUCUAACCUGACGAACUUCCCGUCUGUUCUUCUCAGUUCGUCGUGUUCUUCAUUUCGGGUAAUUAAAAGUUACUUUUAUUACUCGCUUUGAUUCUCAAGCUUUCCUGAAAAUCUUCAAAGGUGUUUAUUCUUCAAAUCUUCACACAUACGAACACCACACACUUCAUAUGAUCUUGAACUGUUUCUCUAAGCAACCAUUUUCUUUAAGAUUCCCUAAUUGUGUGGAUCUUCGAUCUGUACAACUCUGGAACCUAAGACAAGAACACUUAGUGAAAUUCCUCAAGGUUCAUCUGGUCAAAUUCCUCAAAACUUGUUCUUUUCAAAAACCUUCUCAGAACGCAUAUGACCUCUCCAAAUUCCUCGCACCUGUACUCUGUUCACAGGUACUCAUGUCUGCUGCUGAAUCAAUAGGUUCUCAUCAACUUAACUCAUUUGCAGCGUUCCUCGAAGAAAAACUGCAUACUUCUUCAGAGAACUCAUUUGUUCAAAUUCCUCAACUGAAGAAUAUGGCAGACGGUAAGAAGCCGCAGAAAGGAGGAAAGAAACCUGAGGUUAUGACUGCAUUUGAAAUCCCUGAGGAAAUUUAUGCUAACUAUUGCACAUCUGAUGAAGCAAAAUAUGGCAAAGAAAACAAAAAUCAGCACAAGGUGCGCAUUUAGAAGAUUGAACAGAGAUGGGCAAGGGAAUGGAGGGAAUACAGAUAUGUGACUCCAAAGUACAUGAAGAAAUUCUCCCUCAAUCCUCCAUGCCCAAGAGCUCCAUUGGCACCUGGCCAAGUAGCUGACCCCACAAGCAUCAACGUGGUGAGGACUUUCCUGAAGAAUGGGCUAAGCGCCAAGCCAAAUUGGCAAGACAAGCCAAGGAGGCAGUGAAGAAAUUCAAUGAGGAUUCUUCCACUGCUACUGCUACUGAGGCCUCAGUCAAACCGAGGAAAUCCAUGCCAAAGAAGCCUGCUCAUAAGCCAAGUGCUUCACCAACAGCGCCCUCACGGCCAAGUUCCUCAGCAGCGCCCUCAUGGCAAAUUCCUCACACUGCUACUGCUCCUUCAAAGUCCUCAGCUCAUGUGCAUCUGACUACAUGUCAAAGGACUGCUGGUUUCUCGAUUGCCUCUGGUGUUUCAGCAAGUUCCUCUGCUGCACCAAAGUCAUCAUCUGGCCCGACUCUGCUGAAGACCAAAGCAACAGCUGGACGAGGUCCUCGGCCAAGUCCAAAGAAGAAACAGGUCGCAUUCCACGUGCCAUCUGAUGAUGAAGCUUCUGAUGAUGAACUCGCAGAAAUCAUCAGAGACAGACAGGUAAAGGCCGCUAGAGCCAAAGGCACAUCUGUGCCACUGCUGUUGGAUCCUAGGAAAAUCCUCGAUUAUAUUGAUCUCUGGCACAAGGAUCCAAACACCCCCAUGCCUGAUUUUCAUCUGACCGCCGGUCAAAGUCACAUGCUGACCCAUUUCAUCACUGAAGAGAAAUGGAAGUUUGAAAAGGCAACUUCUCCAGGCUCAAUCUGAAGAGAGAUUAAGAAAGCUCAAUACAGAAAGGAGAAGCUCCUGAAGAAAAACGCUGUCAGAAUGACACCUGAGGAACUUCUCCAGGCUCAAUCUGAAAUUCAAGCCCUCAGCAAGGAUUUUGAUGCCUACUAUGCUGAUUGGCAAGGAGCCAAAGUCAGAUUCGUUAACCUGACGAAGAAAUUCACCAAUGUUGCUGCUCCAACGCAACAUGAAAUUCCUCAGGCUGAAGUCUCAGCUCAGCCGACUGAAGAACAUGCCAGCACCGCUGAUGAAGUUCAGGCUGCUGAAGAACAUGCUAGUUCCAGGGCUGAUGAUCCUAUUCCAGCCGCUAAAGAAAUUGCCAGGGCAUCCACUAGUGGUGUGCCUGAAGAAACUGAAGAAGUCAGGGCAACUGCAUCCGUUGCACCUGAAGAAAAUCAACCAGAUUCCUCAGCUCCAUCUGCACCUACACCAACUCCAAUUCUUCCAUGUGCAUUUGAUGUGAAGAAGACCAAGGCUGCAGAGCGAGCUGCAGUGAAGAAAAGGAAGGCAUCAGCCGUGUCAAACUCUUCGGCUACGAAGAAACUGAAGCCAAUGACCAGCUCACUCGAAAAUCCAAUUGAUGCUGUUCCGAUUUCCUCCAUGCCAACAAAGGACCUUGUUCCUUUUGGAGAAGACUAUGAGAUCCCCAUCGGAUCUGAUGAAGAACAUCAUUCUGCUGCUUCGUCAGAGCAGAUUGAUGAAGAAAUUGAAGUGGACGCGAUCCCUUCAACGCCAGUCAUUUCCUCACCUAUGCCUCAGUUCACAGCUGAAGAGGCUGGUGUUGAGGAAAUUGAAGAUGAAGAUGUGGAUAUAGGGUGCACCACACCUGUGAUGAAUGAUGACUUUUGGGAAAGUCAGCAUCCCAAUACUCCUCUCUUCACCCCGCUCCAACAGAUUCCUCAGUCCCCUACACCAACAGUUCAAAUGGGCUCUGAAGAAACUCAACCCACUCUUUCUGUGCAUGAAGAAAUUCCAGCCACUAGUGCUGAUGAACCUGCUGCUGCUGAUCCUCAGACUGCACCUAUUGAGGAACAAGAAAUUCCUCAGCCUGAAGAACCUGAGCUCGCGAUUCCUGAGGUGGUGAUGCAACUCACUGACAUCCCUCUGCCAAAGCAAAAGAAUUCGUUCUCAAGCAAACAGAAGUUCAAGGCUGAAGAUUUCUUUGCCGAGCAUGUAUUCUUCACUGAUUAUAAUCCAUAUGAUUCUGCUCGCAUAAGGAAGAGGCGUUUCUGGACUGCCAGCCAAGCCAAUUUCUAUUCCUUAGUGCUCUUCAACAAAGACAAAGUCUUCGAUCAUGCACAUAUUCCUCAUGUGGACAUGGAGUCUCUGCCCGGCUUUGAGCCAGUCCUCAGUGUUCUUUACGACGCAGGACUUCUAAAUUUCUGCAUUGAUAUCUGUGACUGGAAUGAAGAACUCAUUCUUCAAUUCUAUGCAACUCUGCACAUCACCGAAGACGCUGAAGACGUGAACUCCUGGGUAUUAGACUGGAUGUCUGGAAAUACUCACUACAAGGCACCUGCAACUGAAUUGCUUCGUGCUCUACCACUCAGUCCUCCACUUGAUGAUGCUCGUUGUAUCUACAAUGAACCAGAACUUUCAAAUGACUAUAUGCAAGUGCUGAUGAAGCCGUUGAAGCCAAGGCAGGCCCCAUGAACCAAAUUCCUCGUCAAGGAAUUACUCUAUGUGCCUCGGACUGUCUAUCGAAUUCUGACGAAGACAAUGAGUCCCAUCAAAGGCCACGACUCAAAUGAUGAAGAAGUCAUUGGCAUCAUGAAGAAUAUGCUUUUCAACAUCAUUCAUGGCGUUCCCAUAAACUUCCAUGAUUUCUUCAUGAGGACUCUGGCCAAUAUUGCUAUGUCACCAUUCGAGCUGAAGCCCUAUGCUCCUUGGAUUAUGAGAUUCAUCAGGGCAAGAUCUUCACUGAAUUACAAAGCUGACACUCUAAACCACAGUAGCUACUUGCCUCCCAUUGAAGUCCUCAAACGGUCAGUUUCAUCAGCUGAUGACAAAGGCAAGGCCGCUGCUGUGAUCGAUGAAGGCAUUCGUCCUUUGGAUGGUCAAUUUCGCAAGGCUGCAUCUUACUCUACCAAUGACGAUUUUGCCACACAUGACUCUGCCGCCAAUACCUCAGCCAAGCAAAAUCCUCAAGCCACAGCACCCAGGGUGAUGACUGACCGUGAGUUACUCCUCAGUCUUCAUCAGAAGGUUGAUCGCAAUCAUAAAUGGGUCAAGCGCCAGUUUGGUUCAAUUCUUCACAACAUGACCUCAACACACAAUGCAGUGAAGAAAAACCAAUACUACCUCCAUGAAACCUUCAACCGUACCUGGGCUAUUCUCUCUCAUGUCUACAGCGCUGCUGAUCUGAAGAAUAUGGGUCUCAAGGAAGAAUUUGACUGGUCUGCACCUCCACCGAAGAAAUUCAAGAAGGUCAAAGUUCCUUCCUUGGUGGCCAGCUCUUAUUCUUCAUCACGUGACACUGAUGAGUAUGAAGAUUUGGACGACACUACGGCAGGCCCUGCUACAACAAACAACCCCGACAACGCUGGCGCUCCUCCAUCGACUUGAAAUUCUUCAAGGGCGUUAGUCCUCAGUUUCAAUCCUUUUGGUCAUUCGAUGAAAAAGGGGGAGAAAUCUGAGUUAGUCUUCAAGCGGGUCUAUAUUAAGGGCAUUUUUAAGUUACAACUCUUGUUCUCCUGAGACUUUUAUUUGGAUCGAGUUGUAAUCUUAAACCCGAUGGUGCACUGAUACUUUUGUUGCAUUAUGCUCUGCAUGCUUAUUUCCUCGUUAAUGACAUUGCACACAUGCUGAAUCUCAUCAGACACCAUAUUUCAUCAUGCAUUUCAAAUUCUUCAUAUUAUAUAUCAAAUGUGUGUAUGAAUUACAAGAUAUAGGGGGAGAUCUCCAUGAUUCAACUCUUUAAAUGUGCAAUGCUUCAAAAGCAAAUUCCUCACUAUGCACAUCUUCAGGGGGAUUUCUUCUAUAUCUUGCAAUCAAAUUCCUCAAAAUCAGUAUAUACACUUCAUAUAUUUAUCCCCGUUGAAAACUUAACCUAUGUUGUCAUCAAUCACCAAAAAGGGGGAGAUUGUAAGUGCAUCUAGUGCCCCUUAGUGAUUUUGGUGUAUUGAAGACUUAUAGGUUAAGGGACUAAUGCGUUUGUGAGUGUACACAGGUCUAUAAGUCUAUGAGGAGUUUGAUAUUUGCAGAGAAAGUCGACCCCUAAAAAUGAAGUUCUUCAAGUGAAGACUUUGAUAUUCUGAAGACUUUUUGAAGACUUUGGAAGUGAAGAAAUUGGUGUGACCUUGAAGACUUGGUAUUCCUUUCUGGAACAUGAAGCGUGAAGACUUUUGUUUUCGUAGUUUCAUUUUCUCUUUCUUGAGUCAUAGGAAACACCGUACUGUUAAAGGGGGUCGAGGAAAUACUUAGAAAAAAUUUCCAUGUGAUGCUCAACUCAAAAUCCUACACCUACCAAUCCCUUCGAGUGAAGCCUUUGGAAAUCUCAUACAGUUCAGCCACUUUCUUCAGUGACAGAGACGAAGUUCUUCUGGUCACUGAUGAAUUUGUUCUGACUGAGGAGUUAGGAAUUCGCCAGUGCGAAUUACCUACACAGUGAGGAACAUGAUAGCCCUGAGGAAUUUGAGAGUCAAAUUUCCGACCGUUGCUGUGCUGCGCGCCAGCUGUCCCAAAAUAUCUUAUCCACCUAACGGUCAUAUCAUUGAGGGGCAUUUAUGUCUUAUCAUGUCGGGCUGCUCCCUAGGCUAUAAAUAGCCGCCCCCCUACAACCACUAGUUGGUUGGCUGCUCCGAGAAAACUUGACACUUGUCAUUUGAGAGCAACCCAUCCUCCGAGGACUUUGAGCAAAAAUCAUCAAGUGAGGAAAAUCCCAAACCCAAACACCUACAAACCCCAAAGUGAUUGAGCAUCACUGAAGAAAUUGAUCCUGCGUGGAUCCGACGCUUGUUACCUUUGAAGACCAUGCUUCUUCCAGACAGUUAGGCGUCAAGGUCUAGAGCAUCCAAGAGGAAUUGUGGAUCGCCGAGUGACCAAGUCUGUGAAGGUUUGGAAGUCGCCUGAAGACUUGCCACGAGUGAUUGGACGGGAUCUGUGUGAUCUUAGUUCAAGGAGAAUACGGUGAAGACUGGGUGUCCUGAGCUGCGUGCUCAGAGACUGGGUGUCCGGGACUGCGUGUCCUCGAGUUUAAAUACUCAGCCGCUCCAACCAGACGUACAACUGAGACAGUAGUUGGAACUGGUUUACCAAAUCAUUGUCUUCACCAACCUACUGGUUCUAUUUCCUCAACCCUUUCAUUUCCUCAUUACCGUGUUGGGUGUUUGUUCAUAUCUGUGUUUGAAGACUUUGACUGAAGACAUUCUCAAUUUCCUCAGUUCAAUUUCUUCAGUCUGUUUGUCUUCAUCUUGUGUUAUCCUGUGAUUACACUUUCUGUACUCUUUGCUAGUCUUCAUUUCAUCAUGAUGACCAUGCUUGUAUUUUGUUAUGCUUACUUCUGAGUACUUAUUCUGCUGCUAAUAGUUCUUCGCUAAGGAAUUUCCUCACCGGCAAAUUCCUCAGUGAAGAAUUCAUAAAAAUCGCCUAUUCACCCCCCCCCCCCUCUAGUCGACAUAACGCACUUUCAUGGUGCGCCUAGACCAAUGGUUUGAGGAGUUUCCCCACUACCCAUGUUUAUUUGGGUCCCCAUGCAGGUGGGCCCACCCUUCUAGAACCUUCUUGGUACAAUACUGAAAAAACCCAAACAUUUUCUAAAACCCUGAAUAUGAAUUUCCAUAUAUAAAUCUUUACCUCCGGACCAUUCCGCAUCUCCUCUUGAUAUCUUGGAUCUCAUCCGGGACUCCGAACAACCUUUGCACUUUCCGCUAUUAAUAUCUCAACACUAUCCUAGCGCUACCGAAUGUUAAGCGUGCGACCCUACGGGUUCAGAACAUGCAGACAUGACCGAGACUCCUCUCCAGUCAAUAAUCAAUAGCGGAACCUGGAUGCCCAUAUUGGUUCCUACAUAUUCAAUGAAGAUCUUUAUCAGUUGAACCACAAUGUUAAGGAUUCAGUCAAUCCCGUAUGCAAUUCCCUUUGACCGGCGAUAUGUUACUUGUCCAAGAUUCCAUCGUCGGCAUCUCCAUACCUAGUUCAAUCUUGUUACUGGCAAGUCUCUUUACUCGUUUCGCAAUACAAGAUCCCAUAACUAAACUCAUUAGUCACAUGAAGCUUCUUACGAUGUUGUAUUACCGAGAGGACCCAGUGAUAUCUCUCUGUCACACGGAGUGACAAAUCCCAGUCUCGAUCCAUGCAACCCAACAGACACCUUCGGAGAUACCUGUAGAGCACCUUUAUGGUCACCCAGUUACGAAAUGAUGUUUGAUAGCACAUAAGGCAUUCCUCUAGCAUCCGGGAGUGGCAUGAUCUCAUGGUCGAAGGAACAGAUACUUGACAUGAAGAAAAAUAUUGCAAAUAACUAAACGAUCUGAUGCUAAGCUUAUGGGUGGUCUGUCCAUCACAUCAUUCUCCCAAUGAUGUGAUCCCGUUAUCAAAUGAAAACUCAUUUCUAUGGUUAUGAAACCAUAACCAUCUUUGAUCAACGAGCUAGUCUAGCAGAGGCUUACUAGGGACACAGUGUAGUUUAUGUAUUCACACAUGUAUUUAAGUUUCCAAUCAAUACAAUUCUAUCAUACAUAAUAAAUAUUAUCACGAAUGGGAAAUAUGAUAAUAACCAAUUUAUUAUUGCCUCUAGGGCAUAUUUCCAACACCACUGGGUGUGCCUGAUCUGCGGCGGCUUGCUUGACAUGGUUGUGAAGGCGGCUGUUCUCCUUCUCGGUGUGUUGUCCCGCUUGGCAACGCUGUUGUUGGUGUGUUGUGCAGGGUCGCGGCAGGGUCUUGGUAGUCGUCUCUUUCCGGCGUGUUUGGCUGGUUUUCUCAUGGUCCCUUUCAUCGCGGAGUCGGAGCGGCCUCCGUGGGUCAUCGAUGGCAACGAUGACGGGUGCUCGGUGGUCUUCGGGGGAGGUCUUCGUCGGCGCAACCUCUGCAUAUUCUUUUGCGCUUGAUCGUCAUCAAAGUCGGAGUUGUCUCGGCGCUGCUCCUGGUAGCCAACUGUUUGGCAUAGCUUGAUGUGGUGCCUCAUGCAGGUUGUUGAUAUGAGGGCUUGUUGGUGGUUUGGUUGUGGUGAAGUCGCAGUCGCUAGCUCGCGGAGGAGUGAUGACGAUGCCACUUGUGGUCAGCCUCGACGGUGCUCCUCCUUUGGCUGUGUGUGGUUUUUGUGUUGAUAGCCAGGUUAGCUGGUGGUGCCCCUUCGUGGGUUUUUAUGGUUUUUGUCUGGUUUUCUAUAAUUAAACGGGUAAAAUCUUCUUCUUUACUAAAGAGAUGAGGCAUAGCUUUUGCCUCCAUUUCGAAAGAAAAAUAAUCGGUGCCGGGACCUGCAAAUCUGCUGGGCGAUUGGCCUCUCAGUUGUUUGUUAUGUUUUCUUCCAGCGGAGGAGCUGAGCCAAACAGAUUGGACUGACAUUGCAAUAGAGAGAUUUCAGGCAUGGCAUGCAUCUGUAUCUGUGCGACGUACGUACGGCACUAACGGACCAUGAGAAUUCAGGUUUUCAGGGCUGGUCAAUGGACCACGCCGGGUCUUGUACAAACGCUCAGGCAGGUACCAGCAGCGAUCAGCCAGCCAGUGUACGUGGGUGGACAGCUUUGUCCUUGCACGGCCCGUUGCUGCCGCAUUUCUCCUUGGAUCAUUCCACAAGCUGUAGAAUAGAAGACCGGGCAUUCCGUGGCGCCCGAAGUUGAAUCGUUCCUACUAGCACUGUUGGUGCAAGUGUGCAAGGAUGAACCAUAGCCCACGCCACACGGCCUCUUCUUGCGCGUUGAUCAUUGCAUCCCCUUGAUUGGCCCUAGAGGACACGCCAUGAAGUUUUGGUUCCUAAACCGGGGGCCGCGCUCAACCCUGUCCUGUGGAAGAGAAGACCGUGCAUGCAUGCAGUACUGCCCAGAGUUGAACCGUUCCAUACAUGGUCACCGUGUCCUCAAGACCGGGCAUGCCGUGUCCAGACUCCAGACACGGAUCGAUCGGGCGCAUCGGUGCGCCGGACACCGUAUCCCAUGACCACUUUUUCUGAUCCGGUGAUUUACUUUGGUGGUGAGAUACAAAUUAUAAACGAUGGCUUGACGCAACAGGAUGGUUGCGCAGUGGCGACAAUUGCAUCGCAUGUACCUAUUGGGAUCGCGGAAAUGUGGUGACGACACACAUGAGCGACUUCGAUGAUGGUGUCCUUGAGCACCCGGUCUUCAGCCCCGGGGUGAAAGCUUAAGUCAGACCCGAGUGGUCAUACCUGGUGUUGGCAAUGUUUUUCUUACGAUGUUACCUUGUUGAAGGCAUUGCUUGGAUUGAUUCUUCAUCGUGAAAACCUAUAUAAUGUCCUUGUGGUUCGAUCAAGUCAUGCCGUUGCUUGAGUGUCGCUCUUCCUGAAGGCAUUGUUGUUGAAGAACCAUGUCACCCUAUGUUGUCUUGAGAUGGUUGGUGCAGAUAUGAUAAUUGUUGUAGUUUGCUGAUUGCAGAUUUGAUCGCUUUGGGUGUGUUUUUUUUCAUUUUUCCUCGCCUACACGCAGUUUGCUGGCCUAUUUUUGCAUAUGUGUGAGUUGGUGGUUAUUAUGUGCAUCCUAGCUAUGCAGAUGUCUGGUGUUUGCUCAUUGUAUUAGUAUCUUCUUGAUAGUUUAUUUCGAGCCAAUAAAAUCCAUCAUUCGUCGAAAAAGGGACCGAAGUGGGAGAUUCUCACUUUUGGACUAGCCUUUCGACAGUAAUAUAUAUAUAUAUUUUUUAUCAACAAUGUACAAAAGUGAUUGGAAAUGGGGAGAAUACCAUAUUUUGGGAGGAUUGGUGGAUGGGAGAUAAACCGCUCAAACGAUCCUACCGCAGCGUACAGUAUGAGUUUGAUCAUAAUAUAACUGUGGUUGAGGUCAUUAAUAAGGGCUGGGAGGGAUUCACUUUUAGAAGAACUCUCCGGGGAGAAGCUUUUGGGGUUUUGGAAUAGUUUGAAAUUGAGAUGUGAGGAGGUUGGAAUGAUGAGGGGAAAAGAUAAAAUUAAAUGGAUGCUCGCUGAUGACAGAAAAUUCACCGUUAGCUCUUUGGAUAAAUUUUGAAUUAAAUCUGUUUGUUGUUUUCAGCAAAAAAAAAACCUGUGGGAAAUCAAAAUCCCCUCGGAAAUGAAGUGUUUUUUGUGGCUUAUGGUCAAGAAGUUCAUCGUGACUAAAGAUAAUUUGCUUCAAAGAUGCUGGAAAGGUGGCAAAAUGUGUGUCUGUUGUGGAAAUGAUGUGAAUAUUGAUCAUUUAAUUUUCCAGGGUUCAGCUGCUAGACUUAUCCGGAGUCUUUUAAAAUGUACUCUUGAUUUGCAAUCUACUCCUGCUACUAGUCUGUUUGAUUGCUUCUGUAGGUGGAUUAAGGACUUCCCAAACGAUGAUAUAUAGGCGGCUGUGUCAUUACUGCAAUGUUUUGGGUAAUCUGGAAACGCAGAAACAAUAUUAUUAUUUUCGAGCGAGAAAUUAUAGGACAGGACAGCCCCUCUUGCAUUAUCAAUAACUAAAGAAAAACACAGCUGAUCCGCAAUGACUAGUCCACGGACUAAGAUCACCCGUCGCAUCGAUCGCGAGCUACACUGCACGACCCUAACAAUUGCAAAUCCGCCGAGUUGUCCCGCGGUUUCAAUUUAUUUUUCUCUUCGAGCGGAUGGGCUGUCGCCGCAGGCGUAAUGCGGAGGGUGAGGAUUAUAGCUGGUUGAACCAAGAUUAAUUAGAGCGGUUGGAUGGUGUUCAUCGAUCAAUGACUAGCUGCAGUUUGCAAUAACUUAACGGCCGUCGCAAUCGCAUCACCAAUUGUUGCAAGCACGGACAAGGGACGUACGGGGUGGUAACUAAGGCAACGCGAGCGACAGCCUAGCCCAACGCCAGAUCGGUCGGCCUACUUAGCUUCACACGCCCAAGUCUGUCAACAUAAUUACUCGAUCGCCAAGUCGCAAUCGAUCCAGCCACCCCGGCCGGACCCGGCCGCACAAAGACUCCGGCAGGACGUCGGUCGUCGUGGCCAUUCAUUCCCCGGCGCCACCGUACGUACGUGUACAACCACCCUCGAUUGGUCUCCACUCUCCAUAUAAAUCCGCCUGGCUCCGUCACUAGCUACUCCCAGAUUAUACUCCCAUCGUCGCCGGGAGAGAAGCCGCCGCACGCCGUUCCAACAAAUUCAUUCGUCCAUCCUCGGAUCGAUGGCCGCCGUGAAGGUCAUUGCUUACGGCCGAUCGAACUGGCAUUCCUUGAUCUCUCUUGUGAUUUAUACCGCGCCUAGCUAGCUCCUCAUGUACUGGUAGUUGGUUUGAUCUGAUCGUUUGGUUCUCUGACGGCUGCAGAAGGUGGUGGUGAAGCUGGACCUGCGCGACGACACGCGGAAGCGCAAGGCGAUCAAGGCCGUCUCCGCUCUCUGUGGUGACUUACUUACGCCCCUUUUCUUUUCUAGGUCUGCUUCGUCCAAAACAUGCAUGCAUCGAGGUCGACGACGACGACAACCGUGGCUUCCUUCCGUCCCCAGGUAUCGAGGAGAUCGCCGUGGACAUGAAGGAGGAGAGGAUGACGGUCGUGGGCACGGUCGACCCCGUCGACGUCGUCCGCAAGCUGCGCAAGCGCUUCUGCAUGGUGCAGAUGGUCUCCGUCGGCCUGGCCAAGGAGGAGAAGAAGAAUGGGGACAAGAAGCAGGAAGGCGAUAAGACGGAUGGAAACAAGGAGAAGAAGAAGAACAGCGACACCAAGGACGUCCCGCCGUGGUGCCCGCCGCACUGUUACCCGCUGCCUCACCACCACCCUCACCCGUGCUGCUUCCUCCACACCGAGGAGAACCCCAGCGCGUGCGUCAUCUGCUGAUCGGUCCGACGUACAUUUCUUGUAACCCUCCUGCAUGCCAGCCAAUUGAUCGGUCGGGACUCGGGACUCACCAGCCCACCUACACCGGUGAUCGACGGCGUGCGUUAUAUUUUUUAAUAUAUGGCCGUGUGUGAGCUAAAUACUGCACAGGUGAUCUGGCAGCUGCGCGUCUGCUGAGUUCGCCAGAUACGGAUUUGCGGUGUGGCUAAGAACUUAAAUAAAUAAAACUGCUGCAUUUGGAUUGACGUUCACGGAAAUGCCUAAUGGAGCUUCAGCUACAUGGAGCCCUUCAUUUGAAAAUUUCAAAUUUCUAAAUUUUAAGUUCCAAAAAAUUCUGAAAACUAAUACGCAUAUACAUGAAUGUAUACUACUUGUCUUUUCUAGGGAACAUACACUAUUUGUCUGCGAAGUUUCAUGAUGAAAUAAUUUUUUACGAGCUAAACAAAAAGACAAAAUCAUGUAUUUUUAGCGCGUAUACUAUUCACUAUAAAAUCACGUGUUUCUAGCGUAUUUGUAGCGCAUAUAUACAUAUAUUUAUUUCAGACUUUUUUAAACUUGAAAAAAUAUUUUUUUGAAUGUUUGAAAAUUUCAGCCUCUACGAAGCCCGAGAGCAAAAAAGAAUCCACUAUUGUUCGUUAUUAUACAUAGUAUUUACUCCUUACAAUUACACGGGACGCUGCAUGCACGGUCAAACACAUGACUACGACCUACUCCCUCUGUUCCAUAAUAUAAAAAUAUUUUUAACACCACACUAAUGUCAAAUACGUUCUUAUAUUAUGGGACGGGGGGAGUAAUACAUUGUCAUUUGUCCUUCUCGGAAAAUACACAUUGUUAAGUGCAGGUCUUAAUCUCGGCCCUAACUGCGCGGAGUUUUCAAAAAAAAAUCUACGUCCAUUUAUCUAACUCUGCAGAUUUGCAAUUAGGUCGCCACACAUAUCCUUCUCCACUCCAAUUGCAAACCUGCUGAGCUAGCGAUUGGUCCUCCCGUUUUAUUUUAUUCUAUCAACGGAAGAGGUGUUUAAUGCAACAGGCUCUCCCGACACCGCCGACCUAAUGCAGAGGAUUAUUCGUUAUCAUAAUGGCCGAUCUCAUAAAAGUCGUAGCUAAUUAUAAUCUGUCCCUGCACGCAUCCACAAAGGGCGAAAAGGCUUGCCAGCUUUUGCACUAUCUUCCCUCUGUCGUCGGAAAUUUCCAUGACAAGCGGCACCGAGCGCUUCACUCGAGGCGAGACGGUCGUGGAGGAGGCCGUGCCCAUCAUUCAUGGCCUUUCUAUGUCUAGGGAGUGUAACCAGCAAGCAUGAGCGUGCAUACUACGUAGUAUUGUUUUUGGUUUUCGAGAUUGGCCGAGCUGCUAAUGCUUAAUUAGUUCACUAAGUUACUGGCACGAGUGUGCCAUAAUUAAGGGCCAGUUUUUUGGCAAUUCUUCCAGAAUUGACCCCUUUCCCAGCUUCUUUCAGAAUUGUCACUUCAUUUUUUUACAACGUAGCUAAUUAGACCUUAACUAGCUAAGAAUUAUAAAAAAAAUGAAGAGGCAAUUCUAGAAGAAGCUGGGGAGGGGGUCAAUUCUGAGAGAAUUGCCCAAAAAAACUAGCCCUAAUGUUGCGUCUGGAACUACCACGCUAGUCCCUAUGAUCACGAAGAGAGGGAGAGAGAGCAUUUGUCUGAGAGAACAUUGUUUGCUUGGAAUCUUUUAAUUAUUUGUUUUUUCCAACUUUCGUUGAAUUGCGUCGUUGGCAUGAUGAGGAAUACGAUUGUUGUCUCAUCUAGUAUUUGAUUAUAAAAAUCCUCCUACUCAUUCUGAAUGUAAAAUAAAGGGACUCACUGUUGGUCUUUUUUUUAGACAAUUCACGAAGCUUUAUUACGCCGCCACUAGGUGCAGUGGGAUGAAUGAAAGGUUCCCGGGUGGCCUAACCACACACGAUGGCCCGCCCCUAAAUGUAAAGCAUGCUUCGCUAAAUUGUGAGAUUCCACAUUGUUGCUCCUAAACUCAUGGACGAAGUUACAAGAAGUAAAAAUACUAGAGUAUUUUAUGAUUUCAUGUACGAUCGCUCCGUACUCCGUCCCACUCUUCUGCUUGAUACUAUCAAUCACCACCUUACAGUCUGAGGCAAUAUGAAUAGCCUGCAGCUAAAGAUCUUCCGACAAAGACAAAGCUUCCCUAACCGCCAGUGCUUCUAGGGUGCUAGGAUCAGUAAUCGCUCUGAAACCCAUGGUCGAAGCACCCCAAGAACAUUCCUUCGACAUCUCUAGCUAUAACCGCGACUGUGCCAACUCCCCGCCUCUCUGCAACUGUUGCAUCAACAUUCAGCUUCGCCAUAUUGGCCGGGGGCUUCAACCAAUGAUUCGGUCUGGGUACCGGAGAACUGCCCCCCGCCGUCGCGACCUUGGCCUGUAUCUGAAAAUCAUCACUAUAUCGUUGAAUAAAUAGGUGUGUGGAUAAAGGAGGUUGAUGGAUAUCCUCAUAGGCAACUUUUCUCUUCGCACCCCAGACUGCCUAUAGAGUGAUGGUCAUCCGCAUGAACUGGUCCGGAUUAAGAGCUUUGUUAAGAGCAAACAUCCAAUCCCGCGGGUUGUCAUUAUCAUGUUGGCACAUUUUUUGGACCAGUUCUUCAUCCGAGAGCGCCCAUACGCAACGGGCCAUGGUGCAGUCGAUCAUCGUGUGUCUCCAAGAGUCUGGAGCUCCACAAAGCAUGCAAGCCGCAGAGUCCGCCAUAUGUGUGUGCUCGAGCACGUCGGCUGUUGGGAUAGAGCUCCUAGCAAGUCUCCAUAAGAAGAAUUUUAUCUUGGGUGGUAACUUUACCUUCCAUAAUGAUGACCACAAGUUACACUCAUGUUCAGAUCGACUGAAAAAGAGUUUGGGUCAGUCGAUUGACCCCAACCUCAUUCUCAGUCAAGCUCGAUUAAUUAGGCAACCCGCCACGCCAGGCCACUCUGUUUCUAGGAAAGAACGAAACCCUUUAUGAAGAAAGAAAAUUGAAAAAAAACUUGCACACAAUUUGCACUGAAAUUGCACUUUUGAAACAUGCAAUGAUUAAGCAUAUAUAGUGCAUCUUUCGCAUUCUAUUAUAAUUUACACAUAGUAUAACUGAAAUAAUGUUUUUUCCUUAAGAAGAAAAUAAAUAUUUUAUUAAAACUUGCGCACAACUUUGCACCAAAAUUACACUUUAUAUGAAUAUGCAAAGAAUAAUCAUAUAAUCAUGAAAUUUUGGCACAUAUUAUGAGGUAUUUGUAUGUAUAUAAUUACACUAAGCCAAAAACCCACAAAAAACAAAAUAUACGAAUAAAUGGGAAAAAGGAAAACCCAUAGAAACAUAAAACAGAAAUAAAAAAUGAGGCAAAAAUACCCACAAAAGAAAGAAUUAGAUUUCCUAAGAAAGAAUGAAUUAGUGGCAUUCGUAAUAGGCAUUGGUAUUACCAUUUAUGAACAAAGAAAUGGGAAGAAGAAUCUAAAACGAACACUGGCAUAAUUUGCAUGAAAUAUACAUAGAAAGUGCGCUUCUUAAAAAUAUGCAAGAAUAAAAUUAUAUAAAAGUGGAACUUUUGCCAAAAAAAAUCUAAGAACAAAUGAAUAGCGCCAUUGGUAUUAACCUUAAAGUCGAAUGAAAAUGAAGUAAAGACUAAAACACUCAAAAGAAUUAUUAUUUUUCUAAAAAAGAAUGAAUUAGUGGCGUUGAUAUUCCCUUUAAGAAGAAAGAAAAUUAAAAAAACCUGGGCACAACUUUGGACCGAAAUUACACUUUAUCAUAAUACGUGAUUAUUAUAAUCAUGAAAUUUAGACAUUUAGGCACACAUUAUAUGGUAUCUGUAUGUACAUAAUUACACUCAGACAAAACCCACAAAAAACAAAAACAAAUAACUUAUAGAAAAGAAAAAAUGAGAAAAGGAAAAAGAAAAGAAAAAAGAAAAAAUGCACCUAGAAGAACAAAACCGAGCCCAAGCAGCAAUUUGACUGACCCAAAAUAGGGGUUUAUCGAUUCCACACAGCCCAACUCAUCACCAAAAUGACACGGAAAAAAGAAGACAAGACACAUCUCAGAGGCAUUUCCUAUUUGGCGCUGCAGGCGCCCGUUAAUGUGUAUUCUGCAAACGGGCGCCUACACCGUCCCUAACUGGGCCGGCCCGUUACUGUGUAAGUGAUUCUGCAAAAAAAGAGUACGUCGUCCACGCGACUCGAACCACAGACAGACCUCGUGCAAUAAGGUUCGAUGGUAUAACCAACCCGCCACACAACAGGUUGUGAUAAGAUCUAACUCUUUCCGUCAAUUGUUCUCUCUUUUUCCUUUUUCUUUUUUCGUUUUUCUUUUUCCAUUUUUCUUUUUCUGUUUUUCUUUUCUUCUUCUUCUGGUUUCUUUCCCUCAUCGAUUUCGUUUUUUUAUUUCUUAACUACGUGAACUUUUCAAAACCGGUGGUGUAUUUAUUUUAAAUUUGAUGAACUUUUCUUUUCAAAAUUUAUGAACUUUUUCAUAUUUUCGUGAACUAUUUUUAAAAAUUGAUGAUUUUGUUUCAAAUUUGAUGAUAUUUUUGAAAUUUGAGGAACUCUUUUUCAAAAUCUAUGAACUGUGUUAAAUUCAAUGAACAUUUCUUCAAAUUGGAUGAACUUUUAUUCAAAUUGGAUGAACUAUUUUCAAAAAUUGAUGAACUUUUCUCAGUUUUGUGAACUUUUUCCAAAAUUGAUGAACUUUUUUCAAAUUGGUGAACUUUUUUUCAAAAUUUUGCUGAACAGUUUUCAAUUUUUUGUGAACUAUUUUUUUAAAUUGAUGAACGUUUUUCAAAAUCAUUGAACUUUUCUUGAAUAGGGCAACGUUUUUUUGCAUGUUCAUGAACUUUUUCCGAAAUUUGCGAAGUUCCAUUUUUCUUGCAGAAAAUCAUAUAUGAGCGACUAUGAAAGUUUUUCAAGUAUUAGCGCUCAAUUUUUUCAGUUGCAAAAACACGCCAUAGUCGUUAGCUGAACGCAUGUAGGUAGUGUAGGUCGCGAGUUCUAUAUAUUGGUACAAAACAAGUAUAUGUUAGUGUUGUACUAACGGAAGUACUAAAUAGAGUGGUUUUCUAAUUUCAAGCCAGUAGGUGGUCUUGGCGCAGUGGUUGCUCUGUUGAGACUACCACUGGUGACAAGCGGGUUCUUUUUCGCGUCUGCUUUUUGAAGUAGCUGUUGGGCCGGCCCACUAGCGGCGCAUUCAGCGCCGAGUAGGAGCUCCCCAUCUCAGAGCGGAAUCGCACGGUCUUAAAAUCGACUGACCCAAAAGAAUUUUCAGCUGACUGACAUGUAGCUGAAGUGUAAAGAAAAUUUCAGGAUCAACAUAGUAGCAUCUAAAUCAUGACCGGUUGGUGUCACGCAAUGAACUCGUAAUUUUCCUCUCUUUUCUCCGACCAUGUAUGGCUGGCGGCCGCCGGGGGUUCCUGCCUAACCACGCGCCGUCGCUGUUGCAGUAGUGACUAUUACAUCAGACCGGACGAAGACUCCGGCAGGUCGUCGCGCGCGCCCAUAUCGACGCGCACACGCCUCCGCCUCCGCGCCACACACACACCGCGGACGCCCGAGUCCAAGACCUUGGUGCGCAAGGCUGGUGACUGCCACGGCCCCUGCCUAUAAAUUGACCCGCCCCCGCGCCGUCACUCCUCCCACCCCCACAGCACACCAUAGAGCUCGAUCGUCGCCCAGACCUACACUCAGCAGCGCCGCACGCCGCUCAGUUCCGUCCCACCAUUCCUAAUCCAACGAUCUCUGUUGGUUUCGUCAUUUGGACCGAUGGCCGCCAUGAAGGUAAUUGCUUGCAGUCGACCGAACUGGGGUUUCUCUCCUCUUCGGAUUCUGAUUGCAGACGGCCGGUUUUGCUGAUCUUGUUUUGUUCUUUGACGGUUGCCCAAUUCAGGUGGUGCUGAAGCUGGACGUGCACGACGACAGGCAGAAGCAGAAGGCCAUCAAGGUGGUCUCCGCGCUCCAUGGUAGUAAUCCCCUGUUUCUCUCAUCUUCUUGCUCUGCUUCGUCUUGAUCAUGAGGGAGAUUAGCGGUCAUCCAUGUCUGAAUUUGAUACUAGUUCUGACGACAACAACCCUCACUUCCUCAGGGAUAGACCACAUCGCCGUCGAUAUGAAGGACCAGAAGAUGACGGUCGUCGGUACCGUCGACCCCAUCGCCGUCGUGGCCUUCCCCACGGCGCAGAUCUUCUCCGUCGGCCCGGCCAAGGAGGAGAAGAAGGACGGCGACAAGAACGACGCGGGUAAGCCGGUGGAGUACCCGACGUACUGGUACCCGCCGCCGCCGUACCACCCGCACCUGUACCACCUCGCUCACAGCGCCGAGGAGGACCCCAACUCGUGCGUCAUCUGCUGAUCGACGCGCGCCGCCGAUUCCCGCCAUUGUACACUUUGUAGCUGGCCUUCCUUCCUGCUUGCCGAUCGAUAAGGCUACCUGCACUGGUGAUCAACGGCGUGCGUUAUAUAUAUGGAUGGCCGUGUAAGGCGUGAGUUGCGCCGGUGAUCGGCCAGCUGUACAGCACACCUGCAUGUGCCUGUGCAUCUGCUUAGUUUGUAAUGUACAAAUACAGAAUUAGAAUUACAGUAUGUUGUUCAAAAAGGAAAAUCAUCAAGUUGUUACAAGAAAAGUGUGCAGAGGGACCAGAUAGAAUUGCUGCACUUAUUUUUCAGAUAAAAUUGAUGGAUUGAUCUUCAAUAGUGACAAGAAAAUAA